GACGGAUGCUACUCCGCCGGGUUGGGUCUGGCCCAACACACGGCUCUCAGCGCUCUGCAUCAUGGCGGCGUCUUCUGGCGCAAUGGGCUUCUGUGCGAGGUCACCGGAAACGGGUAAAACGUCGCCGUAUUUAAAUUGUGUGUAUGUUUGCUUUGUUUGUGCUGUUUAGGAUAGCUUGCUGCCUGUGCAAGUUAGAUAGAAACCUCAACCUAGGACCAUGGUGGAUUUAUAUGAUAACUAUUAGGCUCGAGUCAGACUCCCUUCUAGUUUGUCAUUUCCCCGUCUCUGAUUAGGUUAGAAGUUUCUCCCCUGUUAAGGGGAACUACGUUGCCCUGAUCCUCAUACCAGAUGAGGUACGUAGGCAGGAGGUCGUACGAGAUCUCUCCGGGCACCCUUUUUCUUUUUGUGUGUGUUUGCUUGACAGAUGCCCUGAUCCUCAUACCAGAUGAGGUACGUAGGCAGGAGGUCGUACGAGAUCUCUCCGGGCACCCUUUUUCUUUUUGUGUGUGUUUGCUUGACAGUUAUUAGGCUCGAGUUCCAGACUCCCUAUUAACUCGUCUGUUGGUUAACCUUCGGGUGUGUGUUAGGAGACGGAUGUAAGACCAGCGAUUGGCAGUCCGUAUCCUAUUCGUGGUUUGUUUGUGUGGAGUCUGACGUAAGUCCAGCGAUUGACAGUUGGUUUCCUGUGUUUGUUUGUUGGUUCGGAGUCUGAUGUAAGUCCAGCGAUUGGCAUUCGGUUUCCAUGCUUGCCUGUUUGUGUGGAGUCUGACGUAAGUCCAGCGAUUGGCAGUCGGUUUCCAGUGUGGGUUUUGUUUGGCGUGCGUGAGCCGAACUACGGUAGCUCUAAUUCUCAUUCCCGAUGAGAUACGUAGGCAUAGGAUGCGAUAUCCUAGCGAGCCCGUUCCCCUCUUCUUCCAUCUGUGUUGUUUCCAGUGUGUGCGUGCAUUCUUUUGAGCGGUGUUUAGCAACCUUUCUUCUAUUCUUUUGAGUGUGGAUCCCGUCGAGUACGACAGAUGCGUAGGGGUGCCAAUACCUUCCCUUCGCAUAACCGACUCCCGAUCCCAUCUCUCUCUGGUCGCGAGACCAUGUCUUUUCCAGGUUUACUUCGAGCGUUUCCUUUCCCUCUUUUGGGAUAAAUAACGAGACCAUGUCUUUUCCAGGUUUACUUCGAGCGUUUCCUUUCCCUCUUUUGGGAUAAAUAACGCACGGUGGCGGCUCUGUUUGUUUUGUUUUUGCCCGCCGGUUGUUUUUCGCGGAUGCGACACCCAUUAAUCGAUCAGUCAGUGCUCUAGAUAAGAAUGUUGGAAUUAAACCCAAAACUUUGAGUAAUUCCAAGUCAAUCUUGAUAAACAAGAUUCAAUCAACCGAUCAAAUUUUCUCAUGUUUUCACUCUUCACUCGAGUGAAUCAACCAACAUUGAUUGCGAGAUUGUAUCGCUGCACAACGAUGAUGAAAAUAAGAUAAGAAAAUUAAAUUUAGGAAGAAAGGAAAUUAAAGUUUUAUCGAGAGAGGGAAAGAAGAAGAGUUUUUGUAGAGUAAUUUUCUACUCUCAAACUGAGAUUUUAUUCUUUACAACUGCAAGAUUCAAGUAUUUACAAUAAUAUGGAUUACUCCCUAUUUAUAGAUUUUGGGCUUAUUUACUUCUCAAGAAAGAUCUAAAACUAACCUAACUAAUUCAGUUAAACAAACAAAUAAAAUUAAAUCCAACAUUACUGUCGCGAUACUCUUCGACAUUUUCGACACCUAGGUGAUUCGACACUUCUUUACUUCUGUCGAACAACAUGCUUCGACACAUGGAAUUACAAUUCGACAGUCAUUUGUAAAGAAUCAAUCUUCCAUCAUCCAAAUCAAAUCAAAUAAAACGUAUAAAAUAAAUCAUACAAAACAUAACAACUUAAGUGAAAUCAAAUCUAUAGAGUUCCUAUUUUACAAUUAUUUUAUGGGUGAAUAUACAUGCUUCUAAACCUAAAUGAUCUGAAUAUAUACCAACACAUGUAAUCUGACACACGAACAAUCCAAUGCGCAUGCAAGAGAUGCAUAUUAUGCAUGCCUUUCAGAACUCUCACUAAAUUACAUCAUUUUAAUAUUCAUUUUUCACAAACUAAAUCUUUCUCAAACAUAAUCAAAAUUCUCUCAUUCACAUCACAAUCACUAUAAAAAAAUCACAAAAAAAAAUAAAAUUUCAUCCUAGUCACAUUAUCAUUCUCAAAAAUGUAUUAUAUAAAACUAUACAUUAUUUAUAUAAAACUAUACAUUAUCAUUCUCAAAAAUGUAUUAUAUAAAACUAUUAUUCAUAUUGAAUAUGAUUGUGUUUCAAUUCACUUUUUCUCUUAAAAAAAAUUAUGCAUUAUUUCAUUUACUUUUAUAAUAUCUAAUUAUUUACUUCUAUAAUAUCUAAUUAUUAAUCGGAUAAUCAAUAUAUUAUAAUAUCUAAUUAUUAAUAUUAUAUAAUUAAUAAUAUCUAACUAUUAAUAUCGCUACAAUCAUUUUAUUCCGUGACUCCUCACUAAUUUUGUUUUUGAUCAUUUGUAAUUUUUUUACUCCCUUUGACUCUGAUAAUUUACAAAUAAAUAUAAAAAAAGUAAAGUUUUUAAAUUAGAUAAAAAUAAAUUACUCCAAAAUAGAAUUCAAACUGAUACAAAUAUUACUUACGUUCAUUUUAACUCUAAAGUUUAUCAAUUAAAUAAAUAAAAAUAAUGAACUCUAAAGUUUAUCAAUUAAAUAAAUAAAAAUAAGAUAAAUAUAAAAUGUCAAACAGAGGAAUUUUUUUUUAACAGCUUAGUUGAUUCCGAUUUACUAUAGCAGGUUUUUUAUGAACAAAAAGAUUAUUUCUUUUCCUUUUUUAUUUGUUAUUUAAUUAUUCCCUUAGUUACUUAUCAUACCCCUUUUAUUUUUAAAACUUAAUUAAAUUAAACUAAGUAGUCACUUAUUUAUUUUAUUCGUUUAUACUAAAAUAUCAUUGAUCAAAUAUUCUAAUAUUCUAAUAAGCUCCAUUUUAUUUUGUUGAUCAUCCCAUUUUGGAUGAGUUAGUUGCAUAUUUGAUUUAUAUAUGUGAUUUUGAAAAUUUAUUAAUAAUCGGCCACUAAAUUAACUAUAAUAGUAAUCUAUCAUGGAUAUUAACAUAAGUGAAAAACACAUACACCCGAAAUAACUUGAACAAAAGCAAAGCAAACACCAAGAAGACACAAGAACCACUUGUAAUCUUCUCUCAAAAAAGAAAAAGAAACUACUAAUUAAUAUACACCACCAUUCAUCAUCACGGUUACAUUACAUUAGUAACACUUUCAUUGAGCCUAGCAGCCGCAGCAACAGAAGCAGCUACACCACCAGGAGUAGCAGUAGCAUCAGGACUGUUCCUCAUCUCCGCACUCGCCACCCCCGCAGCAUCAACGGAACAGCGGCGGAAUAGACGGCCGUUGAAGCGUCAUCGAGGACAAAGAACAUCGCUCAGCUUAAUCUUCUCAUCCUCACGAGGACAAUCAGCAUUAAAAGCUGCAGCUGAUUGAGCCAUUGAAGCUAACCCUCCCGGUGUUAUAACAUUACUCCCCGUAGCUCUCACCUCCGCCGCCUGUAUUGCGGCGGCAUCACUCUGUUCCACUGGCUUUUGGCCCACGGUAUAUGAUGUCGCCUCCAGUGCUUCCCCUAUGGUUAAGGCACUCUCUCGAACCGGACUGGUUGGAGCACACUGAAGCGGAGUCGGUUCAACAAAUUGUCCAACAACCUUAAAUUUAGCAGAACACGAGGUUAAAAAUAAGUGAAGUUAAAACAGAAAAGUUUGUAAAAGGAAUUAACAGAGCCGCUGGUUAAGAACCUGUCCACCGACUGAUUCGGUUACUAUGCGUCUUCCUGGGAGUUGAGUUUCCGUGACGGUGACGCCACGGUCGCCGGUGACAUCUGUGACAUCUUUGUGCCCGACGAUUCCUGCCUGCUCAUUCUUAGUAGCGGCUGCUUGCAUGACGGAUGCUACUCCGCCGGGUUGGGUCUGGCCCAACACACGGCUCACACGGUCGCCGGUGACAUCUGUGACAUCUUUGUGCCCGACGAUUCCUGCCUGCUCAUUCUUAGUAGCGGCUGCUUGCAUGACGGAUGCUACUCCGCCGGGUUGGGUCUGGCCCAACACACGGCUCUCGGCGCUCUGCAUCAUGGCGGCGUCUUCCGGUGCAAUGGGCUUCUGUGCAAGGUCACCGGAAACGGGUAAAACGUCGCCGUAUUUGAUUGGUUCUUGAUUGGUAUGACGUUUAGGUUGUUCCUGGCUCAUUUUGCUUUGAUUAGAUUAGAGUGAAUUCGUAUGUUUGGUGAGAAAAUUUGUAGCUAGUUUGUUUGAGUUUUGGAUGCGUAUAGUUUAGCUUUGAAAAGGUAUAUUAAUAGAUUGGAAUGGAGGUGGAAAAGAGAGUUCGUGGCAAAAUACUACACAUGGCAAGUGAUGGCAAGGAGACGUGGCAUGUUUGUUUGGAAUCCACAUAGCAUUCGUUUGCAAAAUUCAUUAAUAUUAAUGUUAAUUAAAAGAAAUCAAAUAUAUUUUUCAUAUGAUUGACAGUGAUAGUGACAAGGCAAUAGUGCUCAUGUUUUUAGAUUGAAUAUAGAUGGUACUAGUAUUUAAAGUUUAGUUGGAUCAAACUAUUAUUUAUAUAUUUUUGUAGAUGCAAAAAGUAAGCUAUAUAUGACCUUAUUGGCAAUGAAUCAAUGAAUUAGUUAAGUAUUACUUUAAAUGUUCUCUGAAUAAGUUAUGUAGUUUCUUCUAUUGCUAAACUUAUAUCUAAGAUUCUUUAGUAUGCUCUUAGACGGGUUGAUGUUAUUUUUAUGUUAGAUGAACUUGGGCCUUUACGAUAUACCACUUCACAUUUUUUUUCUCAACCAUGAUACCUCUAGGAAAAAAGUGAUUAGGUAAAAAAUAAAUGUAAGGGACCAAGUAAUUAAAUAAAAAAAAUAUGGUGAUUAACUAAGAAAUAAAUAUAAGGUCUAUAAAGGCGAAGUGUUUAAGCAAGAAAUAUGGAAGUUCACAAUCCAUUAAGUUUGAGGUCUCUAAGAAUGAACUGAUUAAGUAAGAAAUAUGGAAGUUAUGAGUUGGAGUGGUUGAGGGCAAAACCUGUCAAUCCAAGAGGCGAUAUGCUUAAUAAUUUUUCUCUGUUCUAGUCUUUGAAGCAUGUAUAUAUAGCCACUUUAGUCUUAGUAUUGAGAUUGUAUCAUUGUGUAGUUUAAGAAAAUAUGUCAUUUCUUGAGGGAAAGAUCUCGGUCACACCUUGGCGAAUCUCACUUCUGUAAGCAAUGGGGCAUACAACUCGUCAGCGAAGAUGUAACGUAAUGUGGGGAGCUUACCUUUAUAACUCGGUAAGUGCCUCGCCUCAUAAACAAUUAUCUAAGUUUUUUGUAAGUGUUUCAUGUGAUCUAAAGUGAGUGGAUUGAGGUAUGGACUAUGUGAAUAUUUGAUUCUUUGUAUUUUGUUGAGUAAAUCACAACUUGACGAGUUUGUUCAACUUAUCUCAACUCAUGGAGUAUAUUUAGAUGACCUAUUAUAUGCACUACCACAAAAAAAUAUUUUUUACCACAAUUAUAAAUGUGGGUUAACAUUGACUUCUUAUGCGAGGUAACAAAUGUCAUCAUGAAAAGUGUGUCAUUUUAUCUUUAAGUUGAAAUUCCAUCAAAUGGAGUGGGUAAACAUAAACAUUAUACAAAAAAUAUUCAUUGUUUACACCAAUUGCAGAGGCAAAUUAGCACACACACCUUAUAUUUUUAUUAAAAAAUUAAACAAAUGAUUAAUCAACAAGAGCAAAAAUUAAAAAGCAAAUUCUUGAACGACCGCCCAUAAGUUUUUUUUUGUGAGUUUUGUAAUCGGUCGUUAAGUACAUAUAAUUUGAACCAUAUUUGAAACAAAUAAGGAUAAUCAACAACAACAACAUUAAAUCUGUAAAUCAUUGAUCUCAACAACAACAACAUUCAACAUAAUUCAAACUCAAAUAUCAAUAACAACAACAACAAAAACAUUCAAAAUUCAAUAUCAACAACAUGCAUGAAUAACUAUAACUAAUAUAAAUAAUUUAUAAUCAUAUAUGAAUGUCACAAAGAAUAACACUUACUUUAGAGAUUUUUAAUUUUCUGACUUUUACUUCUAAAAUUAUGCAACAUAUGGUAUCCUUCAACAUCUCUACAUGUUGGAAAAAAUAAAUAUUAAUAAAAAGAAUACAAAUGUAAAAUAAAUAAAUAUAUAUUAUUAAGUCAUAUAAAAUAUUUACUUACUAGUUUUGAUAUAUUCCCUCUUGAUGAUCAUGAUGAAUAAUACGUACAUUAUCUGGAUCAUUUUUUUCAAAUGAGGGACGCACAUGUGUUGUGAAAGAAGGAGUCUCAAAUUUAAAUCUUAAUUUUCAUCAUUAUUAUUUAGAAGUAUGUUUUCCUUGUAAAACAAAUGAUCAUCUAGUGUUUGAAGAAUUAGUGACAGAAAAAAAAAAUUACUUGGAAUGUCACGAUGAAUGGUUGAUUCAUAUAAGAUGUCCUACGAAGAUUAACCCGUGUGAAUCUUAAUUCAUCAAUUUCUACAUCAUUGUUACUAUCAAUUCACUUGCACUUAAAUAAAGGCACUUUAAAAGUAACAUAAUGAAUCUCCAAAAUAUCCUCAAUGACCCCAAAGUACACUCUAGAUUCUAGUACAUGAUUGUUAUCUUUGAAACUAGAUAAUCACUUUAAAAGUAACCUAUUUUUAGCUACUUGGCAUCAUGAUGCAUGACGGCCAACCCGUCAUAACAUACUGAAAAAGGAUCCUGAUCGUGGGUCCAUGAGAAACGUCACGAUGCAUGACGGAAAACUCAUCAUGGUUCUUAAGCGCACACCCUUUUCUUUCCUUCUAAACUACUGACUAUCACUCCAUUUUGAGGCAUGACGGCCAUUACACCUUUUGUACUCAUCAUGACAGUCUGCAACUUUCCAGUUCACUACUAUAGAACACACUUAUCAUAAUUGUUGGAAAAAGGGAUAUAACCACGUUCGAUCAAUUGUUGUGAGGUAAUGUGUGAUUGUAUUGAUGCUUUUCAUCACAUGUGUAUGACUGUUGUGAUAAACUAGGUAGCACAUUAUAUAUCACAACGGUCAAAGUAUAUAAAGCGAAAAGACAUGAGUUCGAAACCUAGUGAUUAUAUGGUUUGUAAUAUUUAGCGCUCUAUCUAUAACAAUGGUUUGUAUAAAUAACCAUGAUUAAAUUCUUUUUUAUUUAAUAUUAUUUUAUUUUUCCAUAUAUUACAAACCUGGAUGUUUCUUACCUGUAUAUUAUACAUAUAUUAGCGAAAUAUUUACAAAAUAUCAAAUUAAGCAAUAAAAAUAUAUUUACAACCAUCAAAGACGAAGUCAUACAAUACCACCCCCUUUUCAACUAAUGCAUCGAAAAUAAACGUCAAACGUCUACGAACGUCGUCUAAGUCAUCGAGAGAGAAAGGUGUCAUGUUAUUAAACGUCUACAUAAACAAGUGAAAAAACUUGAAUAUCACGUUAUUUGAAUAAUAAUAGAAAAUUACUUUAACAUUAAUAUGUUAUUGUAAACAUUUCAUGACAAUAUACAUACCUAAUCCCACGAAUGAACAAUGUCAGCAAAGACGAUGUUAAAGAUGUGUUUCAUUACAUAGUACUCACACUCAUAUCCUCUUAUUAUUUCCUAGUCUACAAAUUUAAACAUUUCAUGAAUAUAUAUAUAUAUAUAUAUAUAAUAUAUAUAUAUAUAUAUAUAUAUAUAUUAUAUAUAUAUAUAUAUAUAUACGAAAUACGAUCUUUUUUCUAGAGUUGUUCAACCUAUAGUGUUUCUCCACAACCUUAUAUAUUGAAAAAGAUUUAAAAAUAUUACACGCUAAAAUAACUACUUAACUAUUUCAUUUAUUUUUUCUAUUAAAAUAUAUAUUUUUGACGGGAAAGAUUACUUAAGUUAUAUAUCUUUUAUAUAUAUUUCUUAAUCAUCACUAUACUAUAUUUAUUUACAAUUUAUAACGACAUUGCGUGAUUCGUCGAACGCACGAUAGAUGAUUACUUAAUUAUUUUAUUUUAUUUUUCUACUAAAAUAUACAAUUUUGACGGGCCGAGACUACUUAAUUUGUAUAUAUUUCAUAUAUAUUUCUUAACCAUCACUUUAAAUAUUUUUUAUAAUAUACAUUUCUUAAAUACAAUUAUAUAAUUUUUAUUUUAUAUUUAUUUCAUAUUUUGUUGACUUUCUUAGACCCGUGCGAGUCUCUUAAUUGGGUACAAAAUUAGAAAGUUAUGAAAAGUUAAGAGAUUUUUUCAUUUUGAUUUAUAUACAAAUGAGUCUUACUUAUUUAUAGUUAUUGUCCAAAAUUAUUAUUUAAAUAUUUAUUAAAAAAACAUGGGUUGGAAAGACAUGAAGAACAUACAUUGAUCUGACCUCUGUCAAAAGUUGUUAUUCUCACACUUUUCUUUCAUUCUCUCAAAUUUCAAUCAUUUUCUACUUUCCCUCCAUUUUCAUCUUCACCACUUUUACAACAACAAAAAUCUCAAAUCAAUUCAUUAAACAAACAAACGAAUUGAUUAUUUCUAUUGCUACAACUAUAAACCUUAAAAUCAAUGCAGCCCGAAGGAAACUUUAAUAAUGAUGGCGCGAGAAACAUAUUAUCAAAUUUGUAACCCGUGGUGUCAGAACAAUCCGGCAAAGGCUUACCCUAUACGUCGAAAAAAAAUCGAACGCCGCUGACAUUUGACAGUGGAAAAUAGACAAAAGAUGUUAGAUAAUUCGGUAAAGUUGAAAGGAUUCGAGUCUAAAUCGUGAUUGAUGUCACUUUUCGUAAAAGUAUUUCAAGCACUCUCUUUAUUGUCUUAGAGUUUAACGCAAGAAUUCUCAGGAUAAUUCAGCCUCGUAAUCGAAUCUGCACAAGACUGGUGAAGAUUGGAAUGCAGAGAAGUGUGUCUGGAAUUUAUGAGAAGAUGAUGCACGAUUUUGAUAUGUUGAUUUUUAAAUAUUGAACAAUGUAUUUAUAGGUCAUGCAUGUGUUAUUUCACAAGGUUGUAACUCUUGAUGAAACAACACCUUUUCAGCAUAGUUUGUAAUGGUUCGCUUAUGGAUACAUUAUGCACCACUUCAUAAAGUGUUGCAUGUUUUGAAUUCGAAGUUCAGACUUUAAGCAACGACUAAAACCAAGAGCAAUACUUAAAAUUAAGUCAUUGCAUGGCGGCUGCAGACCUCCGUCCUCCGGAGCAUCACUGGCGUUGCCGUAUAAUGCCGCGAGUAGCCCGAUUGCUCUGAUGCGUCGUGCCUAAGUGCUAAAGUUCCCCCUACAAUCCAUCACUAGAGGCUCUACACCCACGCCCUCGGACACGGUCCUGGAGCCAGAGCCGGUGUCACCGGUGGCAACAUCGGCGAGAGGUUGUUUGGAUGAGACAUGUGACAUAAUAUUUAGGACCAUUACAUUUGUUCAUGUGGCACUUUAUCCUCUUUAGCUCCAUUAUUGAGUUUAAUGUUUUUAAGUCUUUAUAAAUGCUUUUAAAGUGACCAUUUUUUAUGUGGGCCUAUUAGAAAUGCAUUUAUUGUCAUUAACUCAACUUCACACUUAUUGUCAUGUUGUAACACUCCUGUGGGAAUUAAUUAUCCAUAAUUUCCAACAAUCUCCCACUUGUUCUAAUGAUGACAAGACCAAUUCUAGAAAAGAUAAACAAAGAAUAUUAAUACAGUUAAGUAUCUUUCGAUUGGAACUUAACCUUAGUAUGGAUAACACAAAGUCUAAUCAGAAUGUUAGGUAGCAAUGCUUUGAACCGUUAUCCCUUGUGAUUAUACCGAAAUUACCUUACACACACUCUUUAAUGGUUCUUCGCCCGCACCUCUCGCCUAGCACUACUUAUGGCCAUGUGUUUUUCCUAUUUUCAUGAAUCUUUCAUGAGAGAAACUCCAACUUUCACUUUGAGAUGACACCAUCUCGAAAUUCAUAUAGGUGAAUUUCAUUUUGUAUUUAUUUAUUAAGAUAUAUAUCCUUGAUAAAGAAAUUCAUUAAGAUUUUGAAAAAUUCAACUCUCAAUAUGUAAUAAUCAACAUUGUCAUAAGAUGUUGCAUAAUCAACCAACUCAACGACUUGUUGUUACCCAUUGAAUCUUAGGUUAUGGUUUAUUAACUUCUGAUUGGAUUUCUACCAUUGUCGGAACUCUUAUUCUGGCACAUAAUUUAUCACGUAAAUUAAAUAUAAAAUAAAACAACGUAGGGUGUCACACAUUCAUAACACACAUGACCUGCUCCGUAAUACGGGUUUUAACAAUAAAUUUCAAUACACACAUUUGUAAUAAGGAUGUUUACACGAUAUCCCACUUAUCUGAAUCAUAGCUCGGAUGUUUACACGAUGUCCUUCUCAUCUUAUUGGUAUUAGAUAUUCACAAAAUAAGACAUUCAUAACUUGUCACUGUAUGCUCACUUCCAUUUUAAAGUAUCAUCGCAUCGGAAUUAUCAUCACAAUUAUGGAAGAUAAAGCAAGUAAUAACAUCUAGUCUCAACUUCAAUUGUAAUAAUAAAAUAAGAGGGUUCUAAUCAAUCAACUCAACAUCUUAAGAAUUCUCAACAACAAAAUUAGUCUUAUGACUUCAACAUAAUCAGACAUAAGGAAUAUAAUAAGUGUUUAACCUAACCCGAUGCUACCUUCCACUUACUUCAGCAAUACUACUCUUGAGUAUCUGCACGAUGCCCAUGUAAAGACAACAUUCAAGUAGAAGGGGUGAGAAUUCAUUUCAAUAAUAACGAUAUAGAAUGAAGAAUAGAUUACAACAUCUACACAAUCAUGCACAACAAUAUAUCACAUUCUUACAUCCAAAUCAUAAUCAACAUCAUACACGACAACAUCUCAAUUAUCAUCAAUGUCAUACAAAACCAUAUCUCAAUUAUCAUUAACAUCAUAUACAACAACAUCUCAUCCAACAAUACAUCAACAACAACCAAUACAAAUGCAACACUUAUGCAAUAUACUCAACACCGACUCGACAUGCACAUGGUAUCAAAUAUGAACACUCAGGUUUAUCUCACUCCAUGAUCCCCAUCAUAGGAUCGAUUCCCUCUUGGAACUGGAGCACACCAAAUCGCUACCAUCAUCAUAGGCAAUGCUCCACUAAUCCCCCAUAAUAGGAAUUAAUUACUCGCACUCGAUCCAUCACAACGGGAUCGAGGCUCACAAAAACUCGUUACCAUCAACAUAGGUAACACUUCACUAAUCCCUCAUAAUAAGAAUUAGCUACUCGCACCUGAUCCAUCACCAUAGAAUUGAGGUUCACCAAAAUUGGAGCGAAGCCUGUACACCAAGAUGCAUGACUCUCAAAUAACAUGCAUUAACACAACAAGGUUCACCUAAAGGAUCCCUACACACAUCUCAUAAUUUAUGCAUCGCAUCAUUCAUCAUGAAGUAACCAAUUCAUGUUUCCAUGUGAAUAAUAUUAACAAAAAACAAUAACUUGUUAACAUCUUAACAUCAUCGACAUAACAACAUAAUCAUCACACCACAAUAUUACAACAAUGCAACGAUUCAUCAACCAGACGUAUAAACCAAUACAUUUAUUAACAUACUAGGCAUAUGAAUAUUAUUAAAAUAUAUAAACAAUUACUACCAUGUUAUAGGUAUGAGCAUUAGCUUUCUAACGCUUCCAACGACAUCAAAAUCGGACUUACAAAUAAAAGUUAUGACCAAAAUCGUCGGGAUAUGUCAACAAUUCAUUAACCGUACGUAUGAACAAAACUUUCACCAACACAGUAGGCAUAAGAAUAAUACUUAAACAAUUCACUUAUCACCAUCAUGUUAUAUCUCUUAGAGUCAACUUUCUAAUGCUUUAAACCCUAACCCAAAAUGAUUCACGAGUUGAAAGUUAUAAUCAAAAUCGUGCACAAAGGUGUUACUAUAAAUUGUUGUUUUCUAAAAUUUCCAACACAAUUUUCAUCUUUUUCAACCCCAAAAACGUCCAUGAAAUAAUCACUAAAAUUAUUUUAUCCCUGAAACAAAAUUAUAGCACUCUACUUCAGAUAUCCAACGCUUCAAACGACACUCAAUUUGGACUUACGGACCAAAAGUUAUGGCCAAAAUAAUUUCGACCGAAAUACACACAAAAAAGGCUCACGCGCUUAGCGCGGUCGUGACGGACAGAAUGCAGAAUUUUCUACAUUUUUCAUUGUUGGAGGCCUUCCGGACCUCCGAUUUCAAUUCCGUAUAAAACCAAAUGCUCGGAAAAUUACAACUCAUGCAAUACUCUAAUUAUCUAAAGUUAAUUUACAGUUAUAACAUAAUUAAAUUAUUUAAUUACAGUUUUAAGAUUAUGCCUAAAACAUUCGAAAUUGCAACAAUGGUGGAUAUAUGUUCAAUCAUAAAAACAGAAAAAUACAUGCACAUAAGGGACACGAAAUUCAUCAUAUAAUAACCAUCAUAGCAUCCAAAUUCAAAAUUAUGAAUCAAAACACUCAACCCUAAGGAGGUUAAAGAUUCCUCCAUUCUACCCUUCUACCAUAUCCAUUACUAUCGGAACUAGUUCUCACCCUUACCUAACUUCCUUGCAAAAAUUCUAAAUUGAAACCUUCACUCUCUUCCCUUGAUCACUUUUCCUAUUUCCUCUUUACUCCUUUUUCUCAAAUGUCACGUACUGUGAAAAUCUCCCUAAAUCUAGGUUCCUCUUAACUUUUUAUUUUUAGGGUAAACUUUUCUAAAUCACCAACUUGACCCAAAUUUAAGUAUCUCAUAUUCCUUCCUCCCACUAACUUUCUCAAUUUCUCAUAUUUGGCCCAAUUAUUCUAUCUUCACUAAUUAAUAUAAUAAAAAUAAAUAAAAAAUUAUUUUUAAUUAUCAAAACAAUUCUAAAUUAUUCUACUUACUUCUAUCAUCCCUCUAUACCUUUAACUCAAGGAUACAUACUCCGUCAACACUCAGGCAUAAAAUAAAUCAUCAAAAUAUAUAUUUCAAACAAUUAAAAUAUAAUAAAAUAUCUAAUAAAAACGGGGUCUUACAGUCUUUACUAAGUCUUUGGUCAGUGGCUUAGUAAAUGGAUCAGCUAAAUUAUAGUUUGUUCAUAUAUAUGUCAGUGAAAGGAAUCCAUCCUUAAUUAAUUUUCUCACGAAAGAAUGUCUAAGACCUAUUUGCCUAGACUUUCCAUUAUAUACUUCACUGAACGCUCUUGCUAGGGUGGCUUAGCUAUCACAAUGUAUCAACACUUUUGAAACAUUGUCUUUAGCCAAUGAAACUUUCAACAGAAGGUCCCUUAACCAUUCAGCUUCUUGACCAUCGGAAGCAAGAGCCACAAACUCUAAUUCCAUAGUCGAAAGAGUAAUACAUGUUUGUUUCUUGCUCUUUCAAGAAAUCGCACCUCCAGCCAAUGUAAAUAUUCACCCUAUUGUAUAUUUAUGAUCUCUAACACUCGAUAUUUAACUCGCGUCGGUAUAUCUUUGUAGUAUGGCAGGAAACCUAACAUAAUAAAGGUCAAGAUUUUUAGUUUUUAAGAGGUAACCAAAAAUCCUAUUUAUGGCCUUCCAAUGUUCACCAUUUGGAUUUCUAGUAAAUCUACUCAUCUUACUAACUGCAAAUGUUAUGUCACGUCUGGUACAUUUCAUUAAAUACAUUAGACAUCCAAUUGCACUUGAUAUUCCAAUUGGGCCACAAUUCUUCCAUUGUUCUUUUGAAUUUUGACACUAGGAUCAAAUGGAGUGCUUACUUCCUUAAAGUGUAGGUGUUUGAACUUAUCCAACAUUUUCACAAUAUAAUGUGUUUGACUAAGUUCAUAACCCCCACUUAUUCGUUUUACUUUGAUCCCUAAAAUAGUGUGAACUAAUCCAAGAUCUUUCAUCUUGAAUGUGGAAGUUAGAAAUUAUUUUUGUUUCUAAAAUUCCAUUCAUCUCAUUGCUAAUGAUCAACAUAUCAUCAACAUAUAGACACAAAAAUAUUACAAUGUUUCCACGCACCUUUAUGUACAAACAUUUUCACAAGAAUUUGGAAUAAAUCCAUUUGAAAGUAUGAUAGAGUCAAACUUUUGAUGUCAUUGUUUUGGUGAUUGUUUUAAACCAUAUAAUGGUUUGACAAGUUUGAAUACCUUUUGUUCAUUUCUAGGAAGCACAUAACCUUCUGGUUGUUCCAUGUAGAUUUCCUCAUCGAGAUCUCCAUUUAAGAAUUUUGUUUUAACAUCCAUUUGAUGAAUAAUAAGGUCAUUCUGAUAAGCUAAUGCAAACAAUACUCUUAUUGUCGUCGUCCUUGUUACAGGUGCAUACGUGUCGAAAUAAUCAACAUCUUCCUUUUGUCUAAACAUUUUUGCUACUAAUCUAGACUUGUAGGUUUUUAAUGUACCAUCACUAUGAUAAUUUUUUCUAAACACCCAUUUACAUCCAAUGGGCCUUGAACCCUUUAGAUGAUCGACAAGUUCCAAAGUGUGAUUUGAUAUGAUCAAAUCCAUUUCGUCUUCGAUAACAUCUUUCUAAAAAGAAGAGUCCACUAAAGCCAUUGCUUCUUUAUAGGUUUUAGGGUCAUCUUCUAAUAGGAGAAUAAUAGGGAUCUUAUGAACAUCAUUCUUGCAAUUUCCUUCAACUAGAUAAAAGGAAAUGAGCUGAGAAUCGAUUUCAUUUGGUCCUAAAACUUUAGCUUUUCAGGUUCUUUUGCUUAUCCUAGGCUUAGGUUGUGUUUCAACAAUUCCCGAGAUAUUUUCGGGUUCUUCUUCAACAAUUCAUGGAGAGUCUUCAUCACGAGAUUCUUCAUUCAUGGGAAUCUCAUAUUCCUUAUCUUUCGUGAUAAGUUUUUCAAAAAACUCCACAUCUCAGGAUUUAAAAAUUACGUUAGACUCCAAACUUAAAAGUUGAUAUGCCUUGUUGUUGGAUGCAUAUCCUAUGAAAGCACAUUUGAUCCCUCGAGGACCCAAUUUAGUUAUUUUAGGAUUCAUAUUCUUAUUAUAUGUCACACACACCCACACUAUAAAAUAACUAAUAUUUGGUGAUCUACCUUUCCAUAUCUCAUAUGGAGAGAUACCAGUUAACUUUAAAGAAAUCCUAUUCAUUAUAUGACAUGUGGAUAGUAAUGCUUCACCCCACAAAUUAAAUGAAAAUUCAGAAUGCAUUAACAUAGCAUUUAUCAUUUUUUGAUAUGUUCGAUUCUUUCUCUCGGCUAGACCAUUUUAUUAUGGUAUACGAGGUGUGGAACAUUCAUGUAUAAUGUUUUAUUCUUCACAAUAUGCAUUAAAUUCCAUAGAAAAAAAUCACCACCCCUAUCACUUCUAAGGACUUUGAUACUUCUACUUAAUUGAUUUUCGACUCCCGCUUUACAGAUUUUAAAGGCAUUUAAAGCGUCAUAUUUAUGCUUUAGAAGGUAUACAUAUGUGAACCUAGAGCAAUCAUCAAUAAAGGUUAUGAAAUACCGGUUCCCCCCACGGAUUAGCAUGCCAUUAAAUUCACACAAACCAGAGUGCACCAUAUCAAGCGAAUUUGAUUUUCUUUCAACACUUUUGAAAGGUUUGUUGAUCUUUUUUUAUUUGACACAUAUUUCAUAUUUUUCGAAAUCAUGAAUAUUGCAUGAGAUCAAACCAGAUUUAAUUAGUUUGUUCAUAAUACUAAUAUCAAUAUGUGCUAAUCUAUAAUUCCAUAAAGAAGUAGAUUCAAGCAUAUAAGAAGAAUUAGAAAUUUCAUUAAUAAUAUUAUCGGUAGUACAAUGUUUGAUCAUUUCCUCAGCAAGAUAUCAUUUUCCUACAAAUACACCAUUACGGGUCAAUAUUAGUUUGCCUAAUUCAUAUACAAACUUAAUACCAGCUUUUUCCAACAAGUCCCCACUAACUAGGUUCUUACUCAUGUCGGGUACAUGGAGUACAUUGACAAGAGUAACUUUCUUUCCAGAAGUAAAAUUCAGUUCGACGGAUCCUUUUCCAACGACUCUAGAUCGUACUUCAUUUCCCAUAUGCACUUCUUGUCCAUCAUUUACUUCAGAAUAGUUUUUAAAUGCUGCUUUGUCAUAAGAAACAUGCACGAUAGCAUAUGUAUCAUACCACCAUCCUUGCAUUUUGCCUUUGAUUGCCAUAAUCUCGCUCUUCGUAGCAACUAUGUCGUCAUUUGCAUGAAUAACAUUAACUUCGUUUUUGAACUUGUUAUGCAUGCAAUCUAGAGUAUAAUGACCUGGUUUUCCGCACACAUAGUAGCCGUCUUUUGGUCCGCCGGAGUUCUUGAACUUGUUAUGUUCUUUCUUAGGGCCAAGAUGGUUCUUCAUGUCAUCAUGUUUCCUCUUUUCUUUUCCAAUCACAGCAUUGGCUUUAGAGUAUCCAGGAGACUCUAACGUUUCUCUAUCUUUCAUAUCCUCCUCGAUUCGAAUGUGUUUCUGAAGUUUCUCCAACGAGAAAUCCUCAUAAUUAUGCAACAAUUUCGUUAUGUAUCAUUUCCACGAAGAUGGAAACUUUGCAAUGAUUGCACCAACUUGGAAAGCUUUUGAAAUGCCUAUUCUUACAACUUUUAUUUUAUUCACGAGAACCUCUAACUUGUGUACUUGUGCAAGAAUAGGCUUGGAAUCUAUCAUUUUAAAAUCAAAGUAUUUAGAUAUUAAGACCUUUUUCGUACCUUCCUCUUCAGCCUUGAAUUUGAACUCAAGUGUUUUCCAUUUUCUGUUGCAGGCUGAGUAUCCGUAUAGAGGUCGUAAAGAACAUCAUAUAGCAUAUUCAGGAUAUGUGCACGUCAUAUCAAUUCAUCCUCUUUACGUUUCUUGCGCUCAUUCUUGAGUUCAUCAGAGUCAUCCUCGGUUGGUUCAGGAAUUAGUGUCAAGUUAGGAUCUAAGACAUAGUGAACCUUCAGAGCGGUCAGUAGGAAUGUCAUCUUGUUUUGUCAUCUGGUGAAAUUGAUUCCAUCAAAACGAUCCAAAUUGACAAGGUCCUGGUUCAUAACUUUGAUGCUUGAAACUACAACGAUUUUGAACGCAAAAAUACCCAGGAUAAUUCAGCCACGUAAUCGAAUAUGCACAAGAUUGGUGAAGAUUCGAAUGCAAGAAAGUGUAUCAGGAAUUAAUGAGAAGAGGACGCAUGAUUUUGAUAUGUUAAUUUUUGAAUACUGGGCAAUAUAUUUAUAGGUCAUGCAUGUGUUGUUUCACAAGGUUGCAACUUUUGAUCAAACAACACAUUUUCAGCAUAGGUUUGCAAUGAUUCGCCUAUAGAUACAUUAUGCACCAGUUCAUGAAGUGUUGCAUGUUUCAGAUUCACUACGCCAAAUAAGGGAAAAGAGGGCGCUUAUUUUGGCCUAUAACAGCGCUUUUAAGCGCCCUUUAAUCUGGCGCUGGCAUAGGUAAAGACAGCGCUUUGUUUUCCUGGAGAAAGCGCUGUCUAAAGUGGCCACAUUAUAGUGCGCUUUAAGACAAAAGCGCCCUCUGGAGUGGUCCAUAAAGGGACACCUUAGGAGGGCGCUUUCUGGAGAGCCCCUCUUAAAGUUGUCAAUGUAAAGUGUUUAGAGGCGCUUUCAGGAAAAGCGCCCUCUAAGUGUCAAUGUAAAGUGUUUAGAGGGCGCUUUCAGAAAAAGCGUCCUCUAAAGUUGUCAAUGUAAAGUGUUUAGGGGCGCUUUCAGGAAAAAGUGCCCUCUAAAGUUGUCAAUGUAAAGUGUUUAGAGGGCGCUUUCUGGACAAAGCGCCCUCUAAAGUUGUCAAUGUAAAGUGUUUAGAGGGCGCUUUCUGGACAAAGCGCCCUCUAAAGUGUUAGUUAUUUUAAAAAAAAUUGUUUGAAAAACAGUGGAUAUAUAUUUAAUUGUAACCUGUUCGCAUGCUGCAAAAGUGUAAAAUUCAUAUGAUUUCAUCCUUUAAUCCAAUGUUAUAACCAUUAAUCCAUUGAUAUAUACAACAUGAAUCCAUUUAAUAUCACACAUUAAUCCUCCAUAUAUACAACAUUAAAUAUAUGAUUCUUUGAUCAACAAUAUACAACAACAUAUUCUCAAAGUACUACAAUUAAGAGAAUAAAAACAUAGCAACCAACACCCAGUGACCACUGUAUCCAAAAGCUGUCUAGUAGUUCUAACCAAUACUAACAAAAACGCCCAUCCACCCAUGGUGGCAAACAUGUUAUGUAUAUCCAAAAGCUGUCUAGUAGUUCUAUCGCACAUCCAUACAAAUAAGGCUCAACCAAAACAACAGAUGAGCAAGCAUAAGUAGUGUCCCCUGCAAAAAGAAACGUCCAAUGCAAAAUAAAACACAGAACUGUCAAAGGCGAUUGAGCAACAAAUAGUAAACAAUGGCAUAAAGUUAAAUGACAUAGCUAAUAUUACCUGAAUUCCUGCAUGGCUGUUAAGGUAAAAUCAAAUUCCCUAGGGUGACAAAUGCUGGUGUCUACCACGGUUCCUUUGACAAUUUAGAACAACAAAAUCAGCAAAAGUGAUAAAUUCAAAUGAUAAUAUUACAGCUGCGUUGAGAAAUAUAUUGAAAAACCUGCAUAAUAUUUCCACUUCUAUCGGUCUCUUUGGGGUUGACAGGAAAGAGACGGUGUGAUGUCUCUUUUGGACCACUACAAAAGUAACUUUAGGUAGAUACCAUCUCUCUAUUGAGACAAAAGCCUGAUGAAAAAAAAUUAAAAUUAAACGCAGAGAAUUUAGUGGUGUAUUUUAUGAACGACAAAGUAACAAGAAAUAAACUUUGAGAAGUCCUAAAUUCUGCCUACAAUACAGUGCUGCAAAGUUGAUGCAACAAAAACAUAUAACAAUAUAUGGUAAGUACCUGUAUCUCCGACCAUAUUUUUUCUUUGCCAACCUUCAAGUCCGGACUUCUCCAAUUAUCACAUGUAACGGAUAUGUUGUCGAACAAGGAAACCAAUGUAACUUGCCAAACAUUGAACCCUUAUCUUUUGAAGAUAGAAUUGAUAUAUGUUUAGAUGGACAUGUUCCAUUGUCGUAGAGGGAUACUUUCAAAUAUCCAGCAUCAUCAUCUACGCGAGUGAGGCUUGACGACAAUAGAGCAUCUCCAUCUAACAAAUAUCCAGCAUCAUCAUUUUACCUGUAAAAAGAAAACAAUUAAAAUCAGAUGACAAAUGUAAAAGCAAUUAAAUCAUAAAAGUCAUUUUACCUGUAAUAAAGAAAACAAUUAAAUCAUUUGACCUGUACCUUUUUCACUAAGUUCUCUUUCUUUUCUUGGUUGGAUAUGUUCUACAUGUCUCUUAACAACACGGACGGUUGGAUUGAUCCAAAUCCCUCAUUAUGAUCAUUCUCAUAUAUGAAUCAUUUGAUAUAAUAUUCUCAUCUUGACCAUUUCUGGUAAACGAUUCAAUCUCAACAUCAAUAUCACCUUGAUCUCCAGUGUUUUCAUCAAUUACUUGUUGGAAAAAAGAACUAUAGACCUUUCGUACUUUUCGGAUCAUUGACAUAGAACACUUGUCUAGCUUGAGAGGCUAGAGUAAAAGACUCAUCUUUGUAUCCCACCCUAUUAAGAUCCACUUGCAAAUCCUGACUUAUCCAUUCGAAUGCCGUUAUUAUUUUCAACCACUUGCAACCAAAUAUAGGAAUCUGAAACUUCUCAUAAUCAAAACACCCAAAUGCGCUCGAUAACACCAAAAAUACGACAGAUUUGCAAAUUUGGGGGUUUAAGUCCUUACACUUGAUAUGUGCAUUGCUUCAGCUACCCGGUGACACCACUAUUCUGCAUAGUACUUUUAUCAUCUUGUUCUUUGGUAUAAAAUGUGUAUCCAUUAAUCGCGUAUGCGCUAUAAGAAAAAACAUGGAAACUUGGACCAUAUGCUAAGCACUCAACCUUUCUGUUAUUGAAGCGGGAUCUGAAUAAUACUUUGAAUAAAUAUGAUCCUUAAACCAAGGUAUAAAACAUCGAUUGUGCUCUCGUACUAUCCAAUUUUCAUUCUAUUUGGGAUUUAAACCUCAGAGAACAUCCUUGUGAAUUUCAACAUAGGCUCAACCUCAUUCUCAUUGUGCAGAACAUACAAAUGCACUUGAUCCGUUCGACCCUUGAUACUGCCACGAUUUUAUUUCCAAUUAGAUUUUUUCCUUCUUUCUUUUCGACAAGCUGAGACUUGGGGAGUCGAUGACUGAACAUUAGACAAUAUUCAGUACCAAAACUCAAUCGCUUCUUCAACAAUGUAUCUUUCAACCAUACAACCUUCUGGUCGACUUCGGUUCUUCACGUACCCUUUAAUAUUUUCAUAUAACGUUCAACAGGGUACAUCCAUCUCAUAUAAGCUGGUCCAUACAAUUGUGUCUCUUUCACAAGAUGAACACUAGAUGUAACCAUUAUGUAAAAAAAAUGAUGGAGGAAAACAUUUCAAGCUCACACAAGUAUAAGAUUUCUUUUUGCACAUUGUGAUCGCAGGAUUGAUCACCUUACUGCAAUUGACUUGAAGAAAGAACACAACUUAUUUAUAGAGUCUUACUUUUCUGGAAGAAUAGAACGUAUACCUAUUGGGAGAAAAUGUUCCAUUAUAACAUGGCAAUCAUGGUCUUUAAACUCUUUAACUUGAGGUCUUUCAUAGCACAAGUCUUCUAUAUCUGAAGAGUACCCUUCUGGAACUUAACUUCACUUAGAAACUUACACAUGUUUUUUUUCUCCUUUCUAGAUAGAGUAUAAGCAGCAGGCGGUAGAUAUGUUCGUUUUCCUUUCUUCAAGGGUCCUAAUUCAGUUCUUAUUCCCAUCGUUAUCAAGUCCUUUCUUGCCUUAAGGCCAUCCUUAGACAUUCCUUGUAUAUAUGAGUAACGUGCCAAUAACACUUUCAAAUACAUUUUUUUCAAUAUGCAUAACAUCAGAAAAUGUCUCACAUACAAGGACUUCCAAUACGCAAUUCAAAAAAAACUGACCUCUUUCUUCCACCCACUUUUGACAAGGUGUGGGCAAAAGGCUUGCCAAACUGAGUAUCCAAAUUCUUUCACCUUUUCAAAAAUUGAUCACCCGUCAAUAUAGGUGGAGCUCUGCCUUGUUCUGUCUCUCCACUUGAACGCCUUUCUCCAUCCACGGUAUGAUGAUUUGAAUUUAAGAAUCUCCGAUGACCGAGAAAGACAUUCUUCUGACCAAAACUCCAAGCGCUUCAAUCUGUUUUAUCUUCACAAAUAGGACACGCACAUUGACCUUUUAUGCUAUACCCUGAUAGAUUUCCGUAUGCUGGAAACAUUAAUUGUGCCAAACAACAUCGCCCUCAAGUUGAAACUUUCUUUCCUAUAUCCAUCAUAAACCUCCACAGCGUCUCCACAAAAUCUUUAAAUCUCGAUUAAGGCUUCAAGUACACGUCCUAUGUCAUUCCCUGGUUGUUUAGGUCCAGAAAUCAACAUAGACAACAUCAUGUACUUACGCUUCAUACAUAGCCAUGGAGGUAGGUUAUAAAUCAAUAAUCACAGGCCAUGUACUGUGUGAGAUACUCUGGAUACCGUGUGGGUUCAUUCCAUCAGUAGAUAAUGCCAAGCGAAGGUUUCUUGAUUCUUCUCCAAAUUCAGGAUAAUCAUUAUCAAUUUUCAAACCUGUGGUGAAUCUGCCGGAUGUCGUACUUUCCAUCUAUAAUUCUUUCAUCUGCAUGCCAGGUCAAGUGUCUUGAAUCGGUUUCACUACGAAAACAUGCGUCUAAACUCAGAAUAACAGGAAAAUACCACAGACCUUUGCUGGAGACAACUUGUUCUUAUAUCCGAGACACCGCAUUUAGGACACUCAUUUAACGAUGCAUACUCAUUUCGAAACAAACGCAAUCGUUUGGACAUGCAUGUAUCUUAUCAUAGCUCAUGCCAAUAGAGCACAACAUCUUUUUGGUUCAUAUGUUCGAUUGGGAAGAACAUUAUCCUCAGGAAGCAUAUCUUUCAAAAGGGCUAAUAACUCUGUGAAACUUUAUCCGACCACCCAUUGCCCGCCUUUAAGUUGUACAACUUUAAUACCGCAGACAAUCUUGUGAAUUUAGUGCAACCAUCAUACAAAGGUUUCUCUGCAUCACUUACCAACCUCUCAAACAUUUCGGGACAAUCCUUAAGAUCUCCUUCAAUGCUUCUGCAAUCUCUUCAACUCGAUCACAAUCGUAUUGUAUCUGCGCCACUAAGUUUGAGGCAUAGGUCGUACUAUCCCCCGUUAACAUUCUCGUUACUUUUCUCACCAUGGCAAAUUCCAACAUGUAUAACUUCGAUCAAUUCCAUGCCUCAUUAGAUGCGUGUCAACUGAACUGCGUCAACCCGUUUCCCAUAACAACAACCCAAGCAAGGACAUAUCAUUCUACUGGGUCUUCGGCGGUGCGCAACGGCAAACUUAACGAAUUCUGAUACCCCAUUCUCGUACUCUCUCGACAUCGAUUGGAAGACAUCCAUGUAUUAUCCAUUACUAAUUAGAAUAUAAAAAACAUUUCAGAAAGAGUUCAAACACAUUCGGACCUAGGUUUCUAAUGAUACUGGGUUGACACAAAAUCAGAUGUUUCAUAGGUUGUAUAACCCAUUGCAUCCGCAAUCAUGGUCACUAAAAACCAACCGUCAAUUUCCUAGUGCAUCCGCUAUCAUGGUCGAAACAAACGUAGAAGGAGGAAACGCGCAGUAUAAGGUAAAACAGAAAUUGGGCAAAGCUAAAACAAGCAAUAACAUAAACAGUAAUUGGAAAAGCGUGUACCUUUGAUUGGUAGAAGGAGGAAACGCGCAUGUAGAUCUAACAGAGGUGGAAGGAAAACGCCUCAGAACCCUAACGUGAAAAAGAACGCUAAUAACAGAUAGUGAAAUAACAAAAUGCGCGGUAUGUUAUAAUUUAAUGUUUACUAAAGGGGACAUUAGAGGGCGCUUGUGGAAAAAAAGCGCCCUCUAAAAGGGGCCUAAGAGGGCGCUUAUGAAAGCGCUCUCUAAGGCUUUCCAGAAGCGCUUUAUAAGCUGGAAAUGCACGUGGACUUAUAACAGCGCUUUAUUAAAAACGCCCUCUAAGGGUAACCUUAGAGGGCGCUUUCUAUAAAGCGCCAUGUAUUGUUGUCCCUCUAUCUCCUCCUUAUUUUUUCGUUUCACCUUAGAGGGCGCUUGUGGAAACAAAGCGCCCUCUAAAGGGGACCUAAGAGGGCGCUUAUGAAAGCGCUCUCUAAGGCUUUCCAGAAGCGUUCUAUAAGCUGGAAAUGCACAUGGACUUAAUAACAGCGCUUUCAUUAAAAAGCGCCCGUCUAAGGCCGUAAACCUUAGAGGGCGCUUUCUAAAAAGCGCCAUGUAUUGUUGUCCCUCUAUCUCCUCCUUAUUUUUUCGCUUCACCUUAGAGGGCGCUUUAUUACAAAAGCGCCCUCUAAAGUGAGUCGCUUCACUUUAGAGGGCGCUUUUGUAAUAAAGCGCCCUCUAAGGUGCGCUGUCUAAUCCAGUUUUUGGCGUAGUGAUUCAAAAUUCAGACUUGCAUCAUGCGUAAGUGCUCAAGUGCCCCCUACAAGCCGCCUCUACGCCCACGCCCCUGAACCCGGUCUCGGAGUCGGUGUCGGUGUUGACCAGCAAGGGGUUGUUUGGAUGAGACAUGUGGCGUAAUGUUUGGGACCAUCACAUUUGUCCAUAUGACACUUUAUCCUCUUUAGCUCCUUUGUUGAGUUUAAUAUUUUAAGUUUUUAUAAAUGCUUUUAAAAUAAGGAUGGCUUUUUAUGUAGGACUAUUGGCAAUACUUUUAUUGUCAUUAACUCAACUUCAUAAUUUCCAACAAGAGAAUCUCAUCUAACAGUAAAUUUCAGGAUCGGUACCUAUAUCUCCCUCGUCGUCUUGCUGCCCCUGCUGAUCGGAUUUCUUAUCGCGGUAGAUUCGAAAGCAAGCUUGAAACUCAACGCUACGUCAAAGAAUUCUUCCCUGACGCUAAUAUUGUUCAUUUCUUUGACUCCUUCAGCUGGAGAAUUCCGUCUGGUCUUCCUGGUCUGUCUCUUUGCUUUGUUCUGACUUUGCUUUUCUUCCUAAUGUUUCGUUAUUAGUCUUUUCUCAAUGCUAUUAAUUUUCUAUUUAUUAACAAGUUAUAGAUAGGGGCUUUUGAAUGUAUAAACUGUAAAAGCUCAUUUUAACUUGCGUUAGAUACUUGUUGUAAAGCUUUCCUGCAUGUUUAGAUAAUUAUAGUGACACAUAACAUACAAGCUUUUCUGCAUAGUAGGCCAUAUGAAUCCUGUGGCUGGUGGACUUCUUCAUCAGUUAGAAUUAAAAGUGCAGCCAGAAUCUGAUCCCGACAUUGGUGGAUGCAAAGCUGGGAGAUGUGCAGCAGUUUGAUUUUGGAUGAAGAAAAAGAAAAUUCACAUGUUGCACCGAUGCUAUCUGUUGCGGUAACGACAAUGUUGUGAUGGAUACUAUUGAUGACGAAGGUACUUUAAAGCAUUUAAAUGUUCAAAAAGGAACAAAAUCUUUUUGUUAUCAAUCCGAGUUAUCAAAACUUGAUGCUGAGUGUGAUAAGGCUAUGGAGGAUCUUGAAAAAUCACAGAAGUAUGAAUAUAAGGUGGCAGAGGAAAGCCUUCAUACACAUAAGAAAUAUUUACUAAAUAUUUCUCAACGACUCGACAAAGAGAAGUCUGAGUUAGCAGGGCAGUCCAGCACAUCUCGUUCAAACUUGUUUCAAACUAUAGAGAAAAGAAAUGAGCAGCUAAGGCGGGAAUUGAAGAAAUUUGAAGAAAUGAAGAAGGUAGCUAAUGGUUUUGGCAGCACAUCUAAAGUAAUUUUAGAACAGCACUUUGGCUUGUAAAUUGCAUUAUAAAAUUAUAGAGAUUACAGACAAGGGUUGAAUAAAAUGGCUAUGGGGCAUGGUAAUGGUUUUACUGCCAAAUAGUAAGUAUAAAUUAAUUCCUACAAAAACAGCCUGAAUAUAUUUAUUUGAAGUCUUUAUCUGAUAGCCUCUUAAAAAUAGCUAAAAUGAUACAUGUGGUCUUUUAUGUUAGUCCUAAAUUUUAGAUAGAUAUCCUUUCACCCCCAAAUUGGUCUUUAAAUCUCAAAAUGUGCAUGUUGUUGUCUGUUUUUUUUUUUUGUACUUCCUUUAAACUCUGUUAUAUUCUCAAUCUUCACAAGCUAUUAUUAAAACUGAAACUAUUAGAUAGGCAUGAAUGAAAGGGGGGUCACUAAAUGGCACAAAAUUAUCCCCAUGUUGCAAGGUUAAAGAGAGAACUAAACAAAUAUUUCACUCCGUAAGUAAUAUUUCAAAGUUCAUUAAUGUAUUUUUUUUUGAGUUAGGAGACUGUUUGGGUGGGUUCACUCCCUAAGUGGGACCCAAUGAUUAAAAGAAAAUUAAUUGCAUAUGUGUUAUGGUUUAAUUUGGCUAAAUCCACAUCAGCCUCGAGAAAAGGGAAACUAAAACUAAAAUAUAUAUAUUUUUAUUGUUGUUCAGCUCCUUCAAAAGAUUCAUUAACCAUACAGUUAAGCACGCAUAUAACGAAGCAGUAAUGUACUCGAUCUCACAAAAUGAAAGUGAAAUUAUCGGUUCCUUCUUCGAACACCAUGAGAUUGGUGUUUCACCGAGCAUAAAGAUGUAUCCAGUUGUAGACUUUUAAUCGUCUUUAUCUCUGGACUAAUUGAAAUCGAUAAAAUCGAGAAAAUUGCAUUUUAUACCCGUAUCUGCUGCCGGGAAGAUAAUUCUGCAGCCAAUUAAUCAUUUGAUGUAUCUUAGGAUCCUCUUGACUCCUGCCAAGUGAGACACCUUUGGUCUUCCCAUGAAUCUACCUACAAUACCGACACUAAAUACCAAGUAUGGAUGCGUAUUGCACAAAUAGCGCAAGGAUCUAACCAGCCUCCUAUACUGAGUUGGAUUAACAUCUUGCUCACCUUCAUUCUUCGAUAGUUGUAGCCUCGGCUCAGCCAGAAUAAUGGUAGUAUUACAAUGGUCCAUUUCAAACUUCUUCAAUAUCUCAAAUGCAUAACUUCUUUGGUGCAUGAGCAGUCCCCUUUUGGACUUGUAGAACUCAAUGCAAAGAAAGUAAGUCAUAAGGCAAAUGUCGGUAAUCUCAAAUUCUUUCAUAAGUUCACUUUUAAACUUAGAAAUACACUUUCUGUUACUGCUCGUUAUCAACAAAUUGUCUACAUAUAGACAAAGGAUAAUCAUUCCUUCACUUGUAUCCGUCUUCACAUACACGCCAUGCUCGGAUACACAUAUCUUGAAACCAACCUCCUUUAGGAAACCAUUUAUUCUCUUGUUACAAGCUCUUGGAGCUUGCUUCAAACUGUAUAACACUUUCUUCAACUUGUAGAAAUUUAGCUCUUGGUUUCUCAUAACAAAACUAGGGGCAUGUUCUAUAUACACCUCUUCUUCAAGUGGUUCGUUCAAAAAAACAUAUUUGACAUCCAUUUGGUAGAUAUGCCAAUUGUUGUUAUUCGCAAUACCGAAAACUAUCCUUAUGGUUUCAAUCCUAGCAAUCGGUGUGAAUACCUCUUCAAAGUCUAUGCCUUCUCUUUGUAAGAAUCCAUUUGCAAUUAAUACAACCUUAUGUUUGAUUACUCCAUCCUUAGGAUUUACCUUCACUUUGAACACCCAUCUCACUCCAAUUGUCUUCUUCUUGUCCGAUAGAUCAACCAACUGCUAAGUAUUGUUCUUCUAAAUAGAUUGUAACUUCUCCUUCAUAGCUCAAAUCCAUUUUGGAUCACUUAAAUCCUCUUCCAUUUUAACAGGUUCAGAUUCGGCCAUAAGUGCAAAAUGGACCAAAUCACCAUCAUCAUUGGCUCCGUUGUCUCAGAACAACUCACAGUCUUGGAGUCUUUGAGGAAAACCCCUUUGCCUUGUUGAUCUUCUCACAUUUCCUUUAAUUUGGGCUUUGGUAGCGGCCUUUUCUGCAUUUCCCGUAUCUACAGAAUCUGAACUUUCAAAGUUGUAACCGAUUACAGCUUUUACGUAACUAGUUACAGGUUGCUGCAACUCCUUGAUUUCAUCGACAAUGACGUCUCGGCUGAUCAUAACCCUCCUGUUUACUACAUCAAACAACUUGUAACCACCGAUAGAGAGAUGCCCUACAAGUAUCAUUAACUCUCCGUUAUCAUCCAGGUUCUUUCUAAGCUGCCCUAGAACACGUCGAUACGCUAUGGAACCAAAAGUUCUCAAAUGGUUCAGAUUCUGUUUGAUUCCUGACCAUGCUUCCUCCGAUAUUGCCUUCUCAAGCUUUUAAAUUUGUUGGACAUGUAUUCAACAAAUAGACAGUUGUUGAAUAGCUUCUUCCCAUAACUCUUUUGGCAAGUUCUUCCCCUUUAACAUGUUUCUCACCAUGUUCAGUCAUUUAUUCCUUUCAGCAAUACCAUUUUGUUGCGGUGUAUAAGGAGGUACAACUUCAUGUACAAUACCUUCUUGAUCAACAAACCUCUCAAAGUCUUUUGAGACAUAUUCGCCUCCACCAUCUAUUUUGAGCACUUUGAACUUAUGAUCCUUUUGCCUCUUAACCAUGGAUUUGAACUUCUUAAACACUUCAAAUACCUCAUCUUUUCUCUUUAUUAGGAAUGUCUAUAGCUUUAUACUAUGAUCAUCGAUGAAUAUGACAAAAUAUUUAUUGCCACCAAUGAAAUUUACUUGCAUCAGUCCACACACACCUGAAUACACCACCUCAAGGUGAUUCUUGGUUCUACAACAUGCACCCUUUUCUAAAUUUACCCUUAUGUAGCUCCUCUUUCACACAUUCUUCAUAAAUUUUAGUCGGCAUGCUGCUCAAGGGCAAUCUCGUUACCAUUAUGUUCUUUUGCAAGUCUUUGAGAUCUCGGAAAUUGAGAUGCCCAAUAUGAUAGUUCCACAUCCAUUCUUCUCGACUUACCUCUGUAGCAAGAGAUCUAUUCUCCAUAACCUUCACCUCAAUCUUGAAAGUUCUAUUGGCAUCCAUAAGAGCUUUAAGGACCAAAACCCUUUUUGCAACCAUAAUGUGUUGCCCCUUGUUUUCCAUGUGAAUCUUGUAACCCUUAUCAAGCAAUUGUACAAUAAUUUGAAGGUUACAUUUGAUUCCAGUAAUGUAUAAUACAUCUUUGAUAAAGGAAUUUCCAUCAUCCCUACUCAUGAUCAAAACAUCAUUGAUCCCAUCGACCGCUAUAAUGGUGUCAUCCGCGAACUUCACUUUGUUCUUCAUGGAACGAUUGAUUUUAACGAACCAAUCCUUCCUCCCCCUCAUAUGAUAUAAACACACGGAUCCAAAUACAAUUAUUGACUCAUUCUCUCACAGGCACCAUGACAUUUUCUUUUGCAUGUAAUCAGUUACAUCUUUCACGUAACCGGUUACAACCCGUUUUUGCAGCAUUCCCAGAAUUGUUGUUGCCUCGUAGCAUACUGUUGUUGCAUUCACCUUAUGUGAUAAUGAAUAAGAGUAUAUUCUCUUUAUCAAACUCUUGUCUUGCAACCUUGGCUUCAUCUCCUUGAGGUUCCUUCUUGUUCACAUUUCACUCUCUUACAAAAUGACCGAACUUUUGACACUUAAAGCACUGCUUAUUUGCUUUUGUCAAACCUCUUCUUUUCACCUUUAAAGUUUCCUUGACCACCAUUUUGUUAAAACUUAUCUCAAACCUUUGACAAGUCAAAUUCUUGAAACUUUGGGACUCUCUUCCACCAAAAAUUCCGAAAACUCCCUUUACUCUUCAUGGACCAUUUUUCUUUCGAUCUCUUAUCCUUCUCAUUGAAGCAAUCUUGCAAAGAGAUCUUCGCCUUAGUCUUAUCAUUAUUUCUAUCCUCAUUACUUUGCUCAUUAGCCUCAAGAGAUCUUUGUAACUCCUAUUUGCUAAUUUUUGCAAGAUCCUACGAUUCCUCAAUCACUACAACCAUGUUUUCAAAUCUUGGCAUUAAAGAACACAAGAUUUUCGCGACAACAUAUUGCUUCGUGACUGCUUCUCCACAUGCCUUCACUUGAUUCAUUAAUCGAGUAAUUCUUGUUGUGAAAUCGUUCUUUGUCUCUUUUUCUUCCAUUUGAAUCAAUUCAAGUUAACACUUGUAAGUUUGUAACUUCACCACCCUUCGUCUUGUCAGCCCAUGUGUAUGUCUUCUCUAAGACUUCCCACGCUUUCUUCAAUAAUUCGCAAUCAUCAACUUUCUUAAAUUUGUCACCAUUCGCACAUUGAUGGAUCAACAAUAGCGCCUUGAAAUCAUUCUUCUUAUCUUCUUUAUGCAUUGCUCUUUGUGCAUCUGUUGCACCUUCGACAAAGGGAUUCAUCCCGUUCUUGAUCACUUAAAAAAAAUCUUUGUAGCCAAAUAACACUUUCAUUUGUUUAUAAUAUUUGUCAUAAUUCUUCGCAUCAAGGAUAGGUAGGUUUGCAGAGAUUCUUUCAUUGGAAACAAAAAUCAUGUUACACACUAGAUAUUUGUGGAUUAGAACCAAACUCUUGAUGUCAAAUGUUAGAACUUGGAAUCACAAGAUUGGUGAAUAAUGGAGAAAAUUAGAGUAUGGAUAAGGAAAGAGGAAUAUAUAUAUAUAUAUAUAUUAUAGUAUAUAUAUAUCUAACGAAUAUAUAUAUAUUAAAUUAAAUAUAUUAUAUAUAAUAUAUAUUUUAUAUAUUAAUUAUAUAUAACAAUAAAUAUAUAAUAUAUUAUAUAUAUAUAUAUAUAUAUAUAAUAAUAUAUAUAUAUAUAUUAAUAUAUAUAUAUUUAUAUAUAUAUAUAUAAUAUAUAUAUAUAUAUAUUUAUAUAAUAUAUAUAUAUCUAUAUAUAUAAUAUAUAUAAUAUAUAUAUAUAUAUAUAUUAUAUAUAUAUAUAUAUAUAUAUAUAUAUAUAUAUAUAAAAUAAAUAAAUAAUAGAUAUAUUUAUUGGUGUAAGCCCUAGAGGCCAAUACUUUUGGUACUUGUAUCGAAUUAUUUAUUAAUACUAAAAGGCUUUCUUUAUUAUGUUGUUUAAUAAAGUCCCUAGAAUAGAUAGUCUGUUUAAUGUAUCAAGUGUGACUUAAUCAUGAGUCACAUUAAACAUAAGACAUUAUUCUUAAAGUAUCUGUAGUCGAGCUUUUAUUGUGAAGUGGGAUAACAUUAAGAAUUAAGACUAUUAUGUAUAUAGACUGAUGAUCACAUCUCAUGGAUCAUGGAUAAGGAGUUAUCAAGUCUUAAACAUAGGUAUGAAUAUUAAGAGUAAAUUUAUACUGGAUUGACCCGCUAUGAGAAUACUAUAUAGAAUGUUAUGCAAAGUGUCAUAAGUUAUUCUCAUGGUGAUAAUGGUGUAUACCACCCUUCGACUGAACCACUAUGGACCCUAGAUGUAGAGCCGAGUGCUUUAUUGCUGAUCAAACUUUGUCCGUAAUUGGAUGACCAUAAAGACAAUUGAUGGGUACUCCACGAAGCAUGCUAAGGGACAUGAGUGACCUAGAUGGAAUUUUCCCAUCCUGCGUACAGGAUAAAUGUCUUGGGACCAAUAUUGAACUGGACAAGGAUGACACGGUCUAUGCUUAUGUUCAAUAUAGACAUAAGGGCAAAAGGGUAAUUUACACAUAAGUAUUAUCACAGAAGGAUUUUCCAGAUCACAUGACAUUUUCGUGUUUGGGUGCAGUGAUGUGUUGCUAGAUACCGCUCACUAUUUAUUUAUGUUAAAUACGUGAUUUAUAUAUAUUGGCAAUGCCAGCGAAAACCUACAGGUCACACACAAAAAGGACAGAUUGAUGAGAGAUAAAGUAACUAAGGAAUACCGUAAUGUACGGUGCACUUAAGUGAAUUGUAGAACAUCGUAAGGUACGAUGUACUUAAGUAGAAUACGAAAUAUGGUAAGGUACCAGCGCUUAAUGAUAUUGGCAUAUUAUAAGAUAUGAGCCACAUACACUUGAGUGGGCUUUUUAGCUUACAGCCACACAAGUGGUUCUAUAAAUAGAACCCUUGUGUAGAAGUUUGCAGUUGCAAUUUCGUUUCUCUCUCUCUCUCUCUCUCUCCUCUCUCCUCGUCUCUCUCUCUCUCUCUCUCCUCUCUCCUUCUCUCUCACACACCAAGACACACGACACACAAUACCACGCACACACUCAAAGCCUUCAUUCGUAGCAGCUAGCACUGAGAUUGAAGGAAUCCGUUCGUGUGGACUGAGUAGAGGCGUUAUCAUCGUUCAACGUUCAUGAUCGCUUCGUAGAUCUGCAUCAAAGGUUACAAUCGCCACAAGAGGUAACGAUUCUAUCACUAAUCAUGCCCAUUCGUAAAGAUCAUUAAAGGAGAAAUUUUAAAUUCCGCUGCAUUUUGGAUCGCCCUUCUCCUUCAGUGGUAUCAGAGCCACUUACGAAACCAUGCAUAUGAUAGUUGUUUAUUUUCUGUAUUAAUACGAUUAAAAGACAGAAUGAAUCAAAGAAUAAAUGAGUAAUAAAAUUGAGAUUGAUCAAGUUAUAUAUAUGAUAUAAGUAAUCCUGAUGCAAAAUACGGUAUAUAUGAUAUAUUGUUUCUGUUUCAUUCAUUCAAACACUUAAUGGUUGUUUUCCUUUGAGCGAUCAAUGGUCGUUUGCUUCUUGAUCCGACAUUAGUAUGGUGAAGCAAUGACGUAUGAUCAAUCAUACUGAAUCAACAAUCGAGAUGUGUUUGACGGUCUGAAAUUGGUGCAUUAGGGUUAAUGACGGCACAAGGGUUGUGUUGUCAAAGAGUUAUGCGAUUAGGGUUGUGACUGCGCAAGAGUUGUGCUUUAAAGUAUCAAGUUUUGAUGUGAAAAACGAAGUCGAUUUCAAAUGAAUUGUUCAUUAAAAUUUUCGGCCAAGGACGCUGCCCCUAAACCCCGCAAGGGGCGCUGCUCCUUGACCCCCGUUCGCUGAUCGGUCAGCGGAACCACCAUCCGCUGACCGGGCAGCGGACCCCCGGCUAACUCUGUGUAGUGUGAUUGGUUGCCGAAAUUUAAUUUGGUUUUAAUUAAUUAAAACAAUUAAAAUUAAUAAUAAUAAUGUGUUUAUUAUUAUUGUCUUGGGGUGAUCGGUUAUGACCUUAGUUUUCCUUUAUUUUGUUUUGGGUUUUAAAAUAUGACAUGCGUGUCGUGUCUCUCUUUUAAUCUCUUAAUGUAACUUCUUUUCUCAUCUCACUCCCUCGUAUGUAAAACGAGUUUCUUUUAUGUAAUGUAAUGUUAUGAAGAAAGAGAAGAAUUCAAUAUCAAAGACUCGUAUGUAAAACGAGUUUCUUUUAUGUAAUGUAAUGUUAUGAAGAAAGAGAAGAAUUCAAUAUCAAAGGAGGACAACCUUGAAGAUCUUGCUUGGAGAAACUUAGAUCGUUAUUAGGUUAGCUUAAGUUCUCUCAUUGGCUUGGGAGAACAAUUGCGCUAGGGGCCAUAACUGUUUCAUUAUGUAUGUAUGUUGAUGCAUGUGAAUGUAUGUUGAUGCAUAUGAGAUACUAUUUAUAUGAUAAAUAAGCCGGUGAGAUCAGAAUAAUUGCAAAUUCCCUCAAAUUAAAUAUUAAGUUUAUGCUUUCCAAGUUUUAGCACUCAUCAAGACUAGUAUCGAUUAAUGUAGGUUUCGCCUACGCGAGGUGCAUGUUCUAUAUUAGUAAGGUGCGAUGGGAUAAUUGUAAUAUUCAAUUGUUAAAACAAUGGGUCAAACUUAACUAAACAGAUUAUAAUAAGAUUAUAUAUGUUUAGAAGCAAUAGUUGGAAACGAUCCAUGUGAUGGAUUGGAAUAAGGAGUUAUUCACCCAACUAAAAUAUUCGAGAGUUGUAUUAGAUACAAUUGGAACCUCAAGGAUGGAUUUAUUGGAUCAAAACACAUUAGGCGGAUGCACGACUUAAAACAAAGUGAAAUAUGGAUCUCGACCCACUAGAAAAUCUUCCAACGGGAUUUUCUGAAUCAAAUGGUGAGACAAGCAUUACACACUGAUUGUGACACAAUUUACAUAAGUCGAAUAACUGAAAAACUGAAAACUCUUACUUGUAACCAGUUACACUAAACAUAUAACCAGUUACAACUGAUACAAAAUUAAUUCCCUUUCAUUGGUAACCAGUUACGUGAUUACUUUAACCAGUUACACCCAUAAUAUUUUCCCUAUUUCUUCAGGUCAAAAGUGACUUUUGCCUUGCUGUAAUCGUUUACACCCCCGUGUGAACCGGUUACAACACUAAAUUAUCAAAAUACUCUUAACAAUCUUAACCAUUUAAUUUAUUGAAUUUGGAUCUUCUCCAUCUAUAUUUUUCUCGAUCCCCCUCAAUCUUACAUGUUAACGAUUUAAUUUAUCCAAUGGUAAAAUAAAAAAGUGCACAUGCUAAGAAAAAUAUAUUGAAACAAAAUAUUUUAAAAAAAGAAAAAAAUAUCUUUAUAUAUAAAACAUCGUAAGAAAUGAAGACAACAAUUAUUUCCCAAAGUGAGACAACGAGUCGUUAUUUUUCUAAAAAAUUUUCUAGUGGAAGAGAACCCACUAAGGAGGAAGUUAGGGAACAUCUCCUUUUUAGGAAUAAAAAUCCAACUUCUGAUCGAUGUUCUAUUUUAUGUGACAACCGGGAUAACAUGGUAAAACAGGGAUGACCUGUCUUAGUUCAACCUCCUGAUUUUUGAACUUUACCCUUGGGUUGAUCCUGAGAUAGUGUGGACUAUCUCCACAUAUGGCCAUUCAAAGAAAGUGGAAGAUGAUUGCAUAGAUGUGUGUUCAUCUUCUGAUUGGACGAUUUCCCACAUUGGUGAGGGAAAUUGAAUCUGCAGUCACUAUGAAAGGUGUGCUAUCCAUUUAUCUCUUUCGAGGAGGGCUUGCUAAAUCACCUAGCCUCAUCUCCCUUCCAAAUUCUUUUAUCCUCCUGGGCGCUUGCAGAAGUGUUUCGAUAUUGAUGUGAUUAUCGAAGGGUUGGGCCAUCUAUUCGACUCUUCUUUAACUUUUUUCUCAUAUCCCGAACUUCGAAGGAUUUUUUCCGUGGUCAGGGAAUCAUUUCUAUAUGCCAUUCGAACCGGGUGUUCGACGUAUACAUGGAAGUUGGAAGAACUUCAAGGACCAUUAUAAUUUGGUAACUCCUCUGAGUCUGAGGACUCAUUCGGUAUUCUGUAAGGUUAGCUAGGAGGUGCUAGACCCUCUUCCUUUUCCUCUCAACGUCAAGAAAAAUUUAGGAAGUAUUGGUCUUGGGACCAUUUCAAACGAGAAUCCCUCAAGUAUUCUUUAGGUGAUGAUAAGCUUACCCCAUACUAGGAGUUGUUGAAGAAGGAUCUGGUGUCCUUUUGGGAACAACUAGGCUAUGAGGAGAGGAAAAGUCCUCAAGAAGUAGGGUCUAUGAAGCAGUAAAUGUGAGCUAUUAAUUUUAGUUUUAUCUUUGAUGCUUUUAGCUAGUGUUGAGGAGAUGAGAGGAAUUUUUGGUGAGGAGAGUUUUUUUAUGACAAAAUGUAUCUCCUUGUUUGCAGAUUCAAUGGCAUCUAUCAGGAUCCUUUAAGAUAGGAGGAAGAAUAUGAAAUAUAUGAAAGCUUAUGUAGUGUUAUAUUUGUGGAAUUCCUAAACCAAGGUGCCCUUGCCUAAGAGCCGUGUCGCCUGGGCGACAACCUGAAGAUUCGUCUAGAAGUAACCCUAACGUGUGAGUCUAGGGAUUCGCUUUAGCAUGCAUAAUUGAAUUGUUUGUAUUUGAGUAUAAUCAUUAUGCUUUUAGUCAACUUAUUGAGUUAAUGGAACAAAAAUCAUAUUUAAAGUUGGUUCAAGUUAUGUGUGAAGUGAAAUCUUAAAUUAUUUUGAAAAACUUGAAAAAUUGAGAUUUUGUGUGUAUGACUUGAGUCAAUCACAUUCCAUGACUCGAAUCAAAUCAAACAGAGGAGAACAUAUAGUUUUUGGUAUCUGUGAUUUGAAUCACAACUUACACCUGAUUUGAAUCAUGCAACAUCGUAACUUGAACCGCAAGUUGCACUUACUCGAAUCACACACCUUGUGUUUUCCAUUGCCUAAUUUAAAUCGAAUCACACUUUCAACUAAUUUAAAUCACAAUACUUUCCAAAUUUUUCCUAUUUGAUCUGUCCAGUUUGACUCGAAUGAAGCUUUGUACAUGACCUGAAUCAUGAGCUUUCACGACUUGAAUAAAGCUUACAACUCACUCGAAUCAUAGGAAAAUGAGAUGCUUUAAUUUAUGAGAUCCUGUUUCACUCUACUUACUCACUUAACUCAAAUCAUGAAAUGUUCUUGACUUGAAUCUAACAACCCAUUUUCACCUAUUUUAUGCAUAGUCUCCAGCAUAUAUAAAUUCAUUUUUUCAUCUUAUUUUCAAAAAUAAAUUUCAUAAUCUACAUUAUGAUUUUGCGAAAUCAACAACCCCAUCAUUUUGAAAACUUAAAGACUCUUGCAAAUAAAAAAUUAUUUCACCUUCAACCUCUAGUUUUGAUUUCAGAUCUUGAUCAUGAGACACUUGUAAUAAUUGAGGGAGACAUUGUCUUGAAAUUAAUCGGUCUUAAAGGUUUGGUAAAUAUUUUCAAUAAGCUUGCAAGAUUGUGGUUGUUGUCAUUGGUAGUGACAAAUUCCAGUAAAAAGAAUGAGGUUCUUCUCUCCAGGUUGACCUUAACAAUGACUGUAUGAAAGGCUACAAACAAGGUGGAGAUCUUCUCAAUCUUCAUACAGUACAUCCCUCAAGAAAUUGGUGGGAUUAGGGGUGGUUUCCACAUACGAAGAUUUUGAGCAUAUUGGUGAAGCUGGAAGAUUCAAGAAGCGAGAAUCAAGUAAAGAUUUCGCAUAUGAGUUUGGCAUUAAGCUAUAUACAAGUCAAGAUCCAAAUAAGAGACUUAUUUUUCUCAGCAUUAUUAUGGAUUGAUGAUUGUAUGAACUCGUUUAAUAUUUGUUAAAACUUAGUGGAAUAAAACAACUUCCAAUGGGAAACUAUUGAAGAAUGCAAUAGGCUCCUGCGUGGACGAUAGAGUCGAACAAUUAUACAACCCAAUGUACUCUCUCUCUCUCUCUCUUAUUUAAUUUUUGCAGGCUAUUGCAUGUGUAGGUUCUUUUCUUAGCAUAGUUUAUCGUUAAUUCCUGUUGCAAGUGAUUUAUUAUGUAAGUGUAGAUUUUGUUGGAACUGGAGCCUAAUUUAGUUUUAUUGGUGAUUUAAAUUUGCAGAGUAAUGAUGUUAGAAUCCUAAAAUAAUUGAAUUUUUGUAAAGGACGCAUUUUGUGUAGUUUACAAUUUAUUAAUUCAAUAUAGCUAACAACUUUUCGUGUAUGCUCCUUGAACGAUCUGUGGUAUUUGUGAAUUGUGUAUUUGUAAUUGUGAUUGAUUUCUAAUACAAGCAUAAGCUCUCUAUUUUGUCUUUAAGAUUUCAGUGCGUUUGAACAACUCUGAUAUCUCACUUUUAGUAUCGGUCAAAUUUUUGAAAAUGGUAUAUUCACCUCUCGCCCUCUAGAUCAUUUCUCUACUCCAUAUUACUACCCAAAAAGUGAUACAUAUUCUGUAUACCCUAUAGAGUACAACACUCAUUUUAGUUUUAACACAUGACUGCCUCUAAUCAUAAGCUUUCUACCAAGCAUUACCGGUCACCAGCAGUUUAUGUCACCUCACGUGAGCAGGUCUCUAAAACUACCUCAAAACACCAUUGUACAGGGCUUCUCGCCCCCAUAGGCAAACCCUAACCAACAUAUCAUGUUACAAACUUACUAAGGCCUGUAAGUCUCCAUUCCCUUGUAGGGGGAACUUGCACCCAUGUACUUUUUGACCAUUACAUUGACUCCCGUCGAGGGGCCUCAAUAAAACUAACCCAGGCCACACCCGUUUUUUCAUCACCAUCACCUUUUCCAUUGUUACCCUUCACUACUACAUUUAGACACCUUCAACUAUGGUUAAUAGGAAGCUUCAUCCCUUACACUAGAAGGCACCAACAGUAUAGAUGAGGCCAACGCCUUGGCAAAGAUGUGUGUCGUCAUGGACGAACUACAAUGUCAUAACCAAACAUUGGAAAAUGACGUCCAUAAUAUCAGAUAAUGCCAAUAAGAUUCCGACCCAGCAGAGGAAAAUAAUUGUUGGACCCCUAACCACUCUUAGACGAAAUAUGGGGGGCGCCAAUCCCAGAGGGUUUCAAACCUCCAUUCUUGGUCAACUUUGAUGGGCGCAACUAUCUCUACGAACAUGUUGCCUCGAUCAAUACAUAAAUGGUCAUCAUAUGAUCGCAAUAAUCCCUACGAGCAUGUUUUAGAAAUCUCAUACCUUUGUAUUACACUUUCAUGUCAAAAAUGAUAAACUAAAAUUCCAAGGCUAACAUAUAGGAUUACAUAUUUUUGCUUGAAAAAAGUUUACAAAUAAUUCUUUAAUAAAAGUUUUAAAUAAAAAUUUGGUUUGAAUAGUUAUUCUUAAAAUGUUAUUUUAGGUAUUUCAUCAUUUAUUAUAAAAAAAUUUUAAUAUCAAAUUUUCAAAAAAUCACUUAAUCUUGAAGCUAUUUCAAAUAGUUUUUCUUAAAAAUCAUUUUUUGAGCUACAUUUUUUUUGAGAAAAUUGCGAUUUGGCUAUAUUUAAAUUUUUAAUAAUGUAUCUUUAUGUUAUAGGAUGUCAAAGUUAAUUAUUCAAUUUAUAAAAAAUGAAUUUAAAAAUAUAAACAUCUCUAUAAAAAUAUUUUUUUAAAUACAAAGAAUUUUUUUUAAUUUUUAAAGCUAAAAAAAACAUACUAUAUUAAACUUGAUGUCAUUGAUUUUUGUCAAUGAGUUCCACAGAAAUGCGAAGGUGCCUAAGGCGGUCCCGACUUCUUUUCUAGAAUUGGUUCCUAAAUUAACAAUCCCCUAUACCUAUUUAAAUAUAGGCAUAUUUGCUUGGUAAGUAGUCUAUAUAGAAUUCUUUCUAAACUAUUGGCUUUAAGACUUAAGAAAGGUAUGGAUAACUUAAUUUCUAAGUGUCAAUCAACCUUCUUAACUCAUAGACAAAUUCAUGGCGGAGUAUUGAUAGUGAAUGAAGUGGCGGACUAUGCAAGAAGAUAUAAAAAUGAGUGUUUGUUAGUGAAAGUGGACUUUCAAAAAGUUCAUGAUUGUGUUCAUUAGGGUUACCUUAGAUAUGUUAUGUAUAUGAUGAGGUUUGGCUCUAAAUGGAUGCUCCAGAUGGAAGCUUUGGUUUUCAAUAGUUCAAUGUCCAUUUUAGUAAAGGCAACCCUACUGAUGAUUUCCAAGUGAGGAGAAGUCUUAGGAAAGGGGAUCCAUUAUCCCAUUUUCUUUUCCUUUUUAGCAGCAGAAGGAUUGACAAGUUUGAUUCAUAAUCUUUCUAGGUUGAAAGAGUUUCAGGGAUUUCAAGUUAAUGAUUGCAGAUGAUACAAUAGUUAUUUGUGAUAGGUCUUAGAGUAACUUGUGAUUCUCAAAGUCAUUUUAAGAGGAUUUGAAUUGACUUCUGAUUUUGGUUUAUGUGUGAAUUUAUCGAAAAGCAAAGUGAUAGGUAUCAAUUUGAAAGAUGAGUUUAUCCUAGCAAUCUCAACCUUUCUUUCUUGUAAAAUUGGUUAUUUACCUUUCGGUUUUCUAGGGGUUAAUGCGGGACCUAACUCUAGAAGAAAAUAGAGAGUUGGAAGGCUAUUAUAAUCAAGUUUCAAAAAAGACUAUCUCCAAGAGGGGUAUAGAUAUGUCUAUGGGAGGAAGAAUGAUGAUGUUAAAUGCGGUUUUGUCCAAUCUUCCUCUAUAUUCUUUUUCUUUUUAUAAAGUUCCGAAGGUGAUAAUAAAAGAAAUGAUUAGAAUGCAAAGAGAUUUUUUGUGGGGAGGUGUAGAAGGAAGGAAGAAAAAUAGUUGGAUUAAUUGGGAUAACAUUUGUAUUUGUAAAUCAAAGAAGGAGGGGUUGGGCGUAAAGCAUUGCGGAGAAUUCAAUUUAGCUUUGCUUAAUAUAUGGUUGUCGGGAGUUCUGUCAGAUGAUAAACCAAUUCGACAAGAUUUUUAUUUUCAGGUAUGGAGAUGUGAGAAGGAAAGUUCUAGACCAAUCUUCUAUCUCCAUUGACAAGAGGGAUUUCAUAUAGUGGCGAGAUUUAUUGUCAAUUAGUAAGAUUUGUCAAAAGGAUUUAUGUUGGUUCUCUGAUGCAAUCAAUUGCAAAGUAGGGAAUGGCCGAAGUAUUGGAUUCUGGAAUUCUAAAUGGCAAGGGACAACUCCUUUAAAAUCUCAAUUUUCUUAUCUGUUUGAUUUUUUUUUGUGCAAUUCUGAAGCUUCAGUAGUCAAUAUGGAGUUAGGGAUGCUCAUAGACGGUUAAUUUAUAUGUUAUAACCGGCUAUUAAAUCCAAAUAUCUGGAUUUUAUUUUUGUAAAAUUGUUAUAAACAAAUUAUUAACGGGUAUAUUCAUAACCAAUUUUAUAAUUAAUUUUGAUUUAAUUUUUUAAAAAACAAUUGCAAGAAUUUUUUAUUUUAAGAAAAAAUAUUUAUUUUUAAGAAAACAAAAUCUUAUUUUUUAUUUUCAGAAAAAAGAACUUUUUUUUCAAUUUUUUUUUGGAAAAAAAACAUUUCUUUUUCAGUUGUUUUUAUUUACUGAAAAUAAAUUAUUUUUUUCAAAAUAAAAAAUUAUUUUCAGAAGGAAAAAAAGUAUAUUUUCAUUUUUUUUUAAAUUGACUAAUUUGGUUUUUAUUUUGAAUAUGAAUGUCCAAAAUAGGUGUAAGCGAAUCAGAAAAAACCAAUUAAAUCGAUAAUCCAAAUCUAAUCGAAAAGAUUGAUUAUUUUUUGUUCGGUUUAAAAGUCAAACUAAACCACUAAAAGCAUAAAUGAUUUGGUUCGAUUCUCAAUUUUAGUUUUUUGGAAUUGUCAACCUAACUCUAGCAGUCUCAAUUUUCUAUCCUUUAUCUCCCUUAGCAAGAGGGAUUACAUAUGAUGGUGAGACUUAUUGUCAAUUAGUAAGAUUGGUCCAAAGAAUUUGUGUUGGUUCUCUAAUGCAGUCAAUUGCAAAGUAGGGAAUUGUCGAAGUAUUGGAUUAUGGAAUUCUAAAUCGUCCUUUUAAAAUCUCAAUUUCUUUAUCUAUUUAAUUUUUUGGGAAAAUUCUGAAGCUUCGGUAGUCAAUAUUGAGUUAGGGAUGCUCAUAGACAUUUAAUUUUCAUAACCAAUACCUCAUCAUAAAUAAUUCAUAUGUUAUAACAAGUUAUUAAAUCAAAAUAUCAUAAUUGGAUUAGAUUGUUAUAAAAUAGUUAUAAACAAAUUAUUAACCGUUAUAUGCAUAACUAAUUUUAUAAUUAAAUUUGAUUUAAUUUUUUAAAAAAAUGCAAGAAUUUUUUUAUUUAAAAAUAAUUUAUUUUUUUAUUUUAAGAAAAAAUAUUUAUUUUCAAAAAUAAAAAAAUCAUAUUUUUUAUUUUAAGAAAAAAAAAUCAUAUAUUUUUAUUUUUGUAAAAAAAAUAUUUUUUUAUUUUUCAGUUGUUUUUAUUUACUGAAAACAAAUUUAAAUUUUUUUUCAUCAUUUUUUUUUCAAAAUAGAAAAAUAAUUAUAAAAAAAUAAUUAUUUUCAUAACGAAAAAAAUAUUUUCAUUUUUUAAAAAUUGAUUAAUUUGGUUUUUAUUUUAAAUAUGAAUGUCCAAAAUAUAACCGAAUCAGAAAAAACCAAUUAAAUUGACGAUCCAAAUCCAACCGAAAAAAUUGAUUGUUUUUUGUUUGGUUUAAAAAUCAAACCAAACCAAUAAAAACCAAAGUGAUUUGGUUCGGUUCUCGAUUUUAGUUUCUUGGAAUUGUCAAACCGAUGAACCGAACCGAUGAUUAUAAAUACCUAGUUAAUCUUUCUCUGAUUGUCCACCACUACUGUCAUUUUUGUAGGUUAUAAUUGUCUUAUUCGUGAUCAAUUUCUCUCCGUUAGUUUUCAACUUCUUCUUUUUUACCUUUUUUUUUUGUUUCUUCUUCUUCAAUGAUUUUCCUUCUAAUUUUGUUACAAAAUAGUUUUGAUAUGUGUUUGAGGCAUGAAACAUAUUAAUUUAUGUGUAUUGAAAUCUUUUGUUAUUAUUGCUGCAUUUUAUUUGUUAAGCUUUCAAAUCUCUUCUCAAUCUUUUCAUGCAAAGUGUCAACUUUUUUAUUCGAUAGUGAACUUAUUUUAUUAUGCAAUAAAAAGCAUGUCAAUGUUUCGUAUGAAUUAAGAACAACUUGUAAGUUCUUUGUAAAGAAGAGCAUGAAAUAUAUUAUAUGAAAUGUAUUAUUUGAAAAAAUAAUAGCAUAAAAUAUACUGAAAAACAUAAUAACAAAAAAUACAAAUGAAUAUAAUAUUUGAAAAAAAAUGUUGUAAACCGAUCAACCAAACCGAAUAAAACUGAUUAGUUUUGUUUGAUUCCAUUUUUAAAAAACACUAAAAGUCAAACUAAACCAAAUCGGUGGAGAUAUCAUUGGUUCAGACAAUUUUUAAUAAAAAAACCGAUCCAAACGGAAUCAAUUAUACCCCUAAUCCAAAAUAUAGAGUCAUAUUAAUAUCAUAUUCAAAAUAUGGAUUUGGUUAAAACCAUAUUAAUAAUUAAUCGAUUUUUUAAUAUUGAUAUAAAUAAUUUAAAUAACUAAUUUUUUUAUAAAAUUGAUUUACAAACAUAAAAAAUAAAAUAAAAAAUAAAUUAUCUCAAAAUUAAUAUAUUAAAAUAUAGUCUUGAAUAAAACAACUCCGCGGAAUUUGAUCCCUUAAUGAAAUGCAACUUUGUUAUUAUUAGUGUUGUAUUUACAAACUUAAUUUCAAAAACUAAAAAUCAAAACGCCUUCAAAUAAGUCAUAAACAUCUGGAAAAACAAAUAUUGAUGUGAAAUGUUGAGUUUUUAUUGAAAUAGAUAGCACUCUAGAUUUUGCACGAGAAAAACGUAAAUUUUUCUUACUCAGCACCUAAUGAUUAUUUAGAUGCUCCGAAUGAUACAUUAUACUCGGCUUCUAUAAGGAAUGAACAAAUUCUGUUAAUUUAAUGGGCAAGAUACAGCUCUCCUACAAAAGUUAUUAUGUUUGUAGAAGUGGAUUUAUGUGAAUUAAAAUGACUAACCAUAUUUAGAUUUAUGUAGACAGGCAUAAAUAUAUAUUUAAAAAUGAAUAAUAUCUUGUCAUGUAGUGUACACAUCAUAACAUACUCUCAAUGUAAUAAUUUUAUUUAGGAUUCUUUUGCUUGCUCAGGAUCUCCACAACACAAAGUAUUUAACAGAGUUUAAAAGAAGUCCAAAAAAAGGACCACAAGAAGCACAUUUGGAGACUUAAAGACCAUUUUGAUUUUGGGGGCAAAAAAAAAUCUAUCUAGAAUUUGAGAGGCUAACAUAAAAGACCACAGACAUAAUUUAGCCUAUUUUUCAGAUAGAGACUUGGUGGUAUAAAUGGUGAACUUGAGUCUCAAAAGAUAUUAUUGCAAUUAAAAUAAAUAAAUAGAGGCUGUUUUUGUAGGAAUUAGUUCCUACUUAUUAUUAUAUGGCAGUAAAACCUUAGCCAUAUGGCCCAUAGGCAAUUUAUUCAAGCCUUGUCUGUAAUCUCGAUAAGCCUUUCAUUUUAAGAAUGCAAUUUACAAGCCAAAGUGCUUGUCUAAAACUUCUUUGGAUGUGCUGCCAAAACCAUUAGCUAUCUUCUUCAUUUCUUCAAAUUUCUUCAGUUCCUGCCUUAGCUCUUCAUUUUUUUUCUCAAUAGUCUGAAGCAAGACACUUGAGCCAGACGUGCUGGAUUGCCCUGCUAAGUCGGACUUGUCAUUGUCGAGUUGCUGAGAAAUAUUUAGUAAAUAUUCCUUAUGUGUAUGAAGGCUUUCCUCUGCCAGCUUAUAUUCAAACUUUUGAGAUUUUUCAAGAUCCUCCAUAGCCUUAUCAAACUCAGCAUCAAGUUUUGAUAACUCUGAUUCAUAACGAAAAGAUUUUGUUCCUUUUUGAACAUUUAAAUGCUUUAAAGAACCUUCGUCGACAUCUGUAGUUUCCAUCGCAGUAUUGCCGUAACCUGUUGGUAAACAAAAUAUUCAUGACUUAAUCAUAUUCUUUUCGGCAUUUUAUAUACACUUACUUCAUUAGCAUACAACCAGUGCAAAAGUAAUAAGUAAUAUUAUCAGAACAUUUACCUGAAGAAUUAGCUGUAAUUUUGGCACCAACGUUCAAAAUAUCUUCAGUAUCAGUCCCAUGUUUGAGCUGAAGUAAAAGACCAAAUUCAUCAUGAUAUUGUCUUUUAUGAUUUAUUAGAGGAAAAACAAGAAAUUAAUUAAACAAUACCUUUGACAUGGCCGAUGUAAUACGGCUCAUAAGCUCCUUUGCAGUGGUUUUCUCUGAACCGCGCAAGAGGCAAAUAGCAAGCUUUAGAAUUUUUUCCUUAAUAUCACCGUCGUCAUCAUCUGUAUCAAUAGCUUCACAUGUCUGUAGAAGCUUAUUAACAUGAGAAAUGAGUUCAGUCCUCCCAUCACAGCGCCAGCAAAAAUACUCAGCAUCCAAUCCAAUGGUUCCUCCAACCGUGCCAGCCGAAUAAGAUCGAAGAGCGCAUUCCAGAUGACAGACAUGGCCGCAAAUGUUAUCGCCUAGUUUUACUUUGCACAUGAUAUAACUAUAGCCGCCAUAAGCCGAAUCAACUGAUUUGUAACAAAGAAUGCAGCAACAUUCGCGGCAAAAUUUAGAUUCAACGCAACAGAUAUCACACGGUGCAACAGGUGAAUUUUCUAUUUGUUCUUCCAAAAUCAAACUGGUGCAGGUCUUAUUUCCAGCUUUGCAUCCACCAAUGUCAGAAUCAGAUUCAGGCUGCUCUUUCAAUUCUAACUGAUGAAGAAGUCCAUCAGCAGCUACAGGAUUCAUAUUGCCUACAAUGCAGAACAACAACGUAUAAUCAUCUAAAGGUGCAGAAAAGCUUUACAAAACAGUGAUUGCGGUGUGAACUGAUCACAAUUUGUUCUUUAUCAUCAAAACGGUGAAUAGUAUCGGAAGAUGAAGAUUCAGAUACUAAUUAUUCACAAUUUGUUGCGGCGGUAUUCACCGCAACAGAGACUGUUUUUCUAAAUAACAGGUUUGAAUACUCAAAAGCCCUUUGGACUUGGAUUUCACAGAAUCACAAAAUGAGAAGAGAGCAAAGAGAAAUACCAGGAAGACCAGAAGGAAUAGUCCAGCUGAAAGAAGCGAAGAAAUCAACAAUGUUAGCGUCAGGGAAGAACUCUUUGACGUGGCGUUCAACGGCAAGCUUGCUUUUAAAUCCACCGCGGUAAGAGGCAGCAAGACGACGAGGAAGAUACAGAUACCGGUCCCUAAAGUUACCGUUAGAUGAAAUUCUCCUGCCAGCUUUCCACCGCCAAAUGUCGCCGGGAUUCGGAAAGUUUUCUGGCGCAAAAGGUAAACCAUCGCCGGAUUGAUCGGGUGCGACCGGUGCAAGAUUUGACAAGUUGACGCGGCGACCAGCAUUAUCAGAGUUUCCUUCAAACUCCAUCUCUGUUAGGGUUUAUAAGAGCAGAGAGAAUUGAUGUGUUAACUUGAGAUUUUUAUUUUUUGAGAAAUGGAAUUGUGAAAAUGAUGACGAUGGAGAGUGGUGAGAAAAAGGGUGAAGUUGAAAAUGAUUGAAAUUAAGAAUGAAGCGCGAAAAGAGUAAUAAGAGUAACAGCUUCAGACAAAGGUCAUAGAGUUGCUCAAACUUCGCUCUUCGUGCUUUUCAACUUCAAACAUGUUUUAAAAUUUAACAUCCAUCUUGAUUUAAGUGUGAUAUUUUCUAAAUUAUAAAAAUCCUUUUUUUUUCUUUCUAAUUAAUAUACUAGAUGAAGCAAAUUGUUCAAAAGACUCAAACAGGUGUCCAACAAUCAUUCACACAUUUCAAAUUUUUUUUGAUAAAUACUUAAAAGAACGAUUUCGUAACAACUUUUAAGAUGACAUUCAUGUAAUCUGUCCAAAAAAAUUCAAAAAAUUAAUAAACGACUUUUAGAUUAAUAAGACUUAAUCUAUAAUGAAUUGGUAUAGCAACUAUAUAAUAUAGUACACUUAUAUUUUAUAAAUGUUGGAUUCUUGGCAAUCACAUGACACACUUACAAUUUUUUAUUUUGAUAUCUUUUUAUACUAUUAGAUCAUGCACGCAUCUCAUAUUCACGAGUGAUUUAAAGAUUUUGUCAAAUUUUCACACAAGGAAUCUAACAUUAUAAAAAUAUUAGUAAUUUUAUCAAAUAUAUAUUAUAUAAGGGAUAUGAAGUUCUUACUCUCUUAAUAAUGCUCAUCUUACACUUACUCAAGUACGCCAUAACAUUGGAUCAUAAAAUAACACAAUGCAUAAAGUUGUCAUAGCAAAGUCUUACCUAGAAAAGAAAUUAAAAACUUCACUAAUAUUAUGUUUUUUAGGAUUUAUGGACAACCACAUUUCACAAAAUUAACAUCAAUUUUAAUUUCGUACACUUUUGAGCUUAAGAGACAUACAUUGAACCACAAUCCUAGGGUAUAAUAAUUUCAAUGAGCAAAAGACAUAAUCAUUUAAAUAAUUUCAAUGCACAUUCUUAAAAGUUCAACCAAGAUUUGUCUUAUUUUGCUCCUUACUUAAUACUAAUAGCGAUGCCAUAAAGGACACAAUAUUUGCAAAAUUUCUUACAAUAAAAAUUGUGUUACUAAGAAGAAUCUAUCUAAAUUUUAUAUUAUUCGUUGUAAAUAUGCUACGAAGCAGUAAUGUAAAUAAUUUCAAUAAAAAAAAGUCAAUUGUGAAUAAAUAGGUAGGAGCGUACCUGAUGAUUUUGGAUCUGGUCUCCACCACAUAUAUCGGGUUUUGUAAAAAUUACUAGAAGAAUUUAAUUGAGGCAUCAGAUCCUUUGUUGUUCUUUCUAUUGCAGUAUUGAUGGUAGCGUGAUGGAUCUGGUCUCCACCACAUAUAUCGGGUUUUGUAAAAAUUACUAGAAGAAUUUAAUUGAGGCAUCAGAUCCUUUGUUGUUCUUUCUAUUGCAGUAUUGAUGGUAGCGUGAGACCCUAAAUCUUAAGAUCAAACUCGUAAUAAUUUCGCAAAAAUAAAUACUUAACACAUAUCUAGUUGUGAGUGCUAACACAAACGACACUACUGCUGAUAAUAUUAUUAAUUAAUAAAAUCAUAAAAAUAAGUGUUGAGAUUGACAUCUAAUGCAAAAACGCUAAAUCGCAAGCACGAGAUGAGCGAAAAUUAAAUUUCUAGAAUCUUCAUAUAGAUAUAUAUCAAAAAAAAAAUCUAAGGAGGAAGCCAAAUCUUGAAAAUAAAUCUUUUCACUAUUUAUCAUUAUGAAUGAAUAUCUAUCAAAUUUUCAUCAAUAUUUCACAUGUAUGUAGAUAUGAAAAAAGUAGGAAUUUCAAACAGAGGCGACCAAGCCUGAAGUUAAGAGAAGAUGGGGAAAUUAUGGAACUGGUUAACAAAACCUAAUCUAAAAGGGUAUCCAUUAUGUUUUGGGCUUAUGUUUUGGUUAACAAAACCUAAUAUAAAAAUGGUAUGAAUUUUUAAAAAUGGAUCCAUUUGGUUACUGGGUCAUUUAAGGAUACAAAAUUUUAUGAAUAAGCCCAAAGUUAAUCUCAGGUAUUGCAACAUCUUAUUGAUCCUAUAUAAAUAAAUAUAAAUUAAUAAAUUAAGUUAGAGUCUACGAAAAAAAAUAUUUUGAUCACCAUCGAUGGAUUUUUUUUUUAAAAUAACCAUUUUUUUCAAAAAAAAAUCGAAAAUAACCGAUAAUUAAAAAAAACAAAAUAAUCAGGUUUAGAAGAGGAUGCGCCAGAGGAAUUGGCGCACCCCUAACUAUUAAGAGGAGGCGUCAAUAGCAUUGGCGCAUGCAUUGGGCUCCUCAUGAGGAGGCGCCAAUGUUAUUCGCGCAUGCAUUGGCCCUCAUGAGGAGGCGUCAAUGCUCCUGGCGCCUAGGUGCAAUUUGCAAUGUGGGCGCCAAUUGCUCUGGCGCCUGCAUGUCCUGCCAUGUGGGCGCCAAUCCCUCUGGCGCAUGCAUGUCAUGUACAUUUAAUAUUCAGUCUCCAUAAAUACCACGCCUUGGAUCCAAUAUUUUUCACUCAAAAUCAUCUCCUAAUACCAUAAUUUCUCUAGUUCAACCACCAUCACCUUCAAGUUUUUCUUUUUUAACAAUGUUUGCAUACAUUUAGAAACGAAAUGCUGAUGUAAUAUUUUCCAUCGUUGCAACUCCGGUACAUAUUCGACUUUGGAACACAGAUACAUUUGAACGUCUUAAUCGGACGUUGUAUAGUUGGUUAGAGGGAGAAAUUGGAGAGGGUGAAAGGAUUAGAAGAAUACAAUGGCUUGUGUCCAUGUUCAAUCAAAACGGAGAAAUGCGCGAAUGAGUGGUGUCGCACCUCAAAAAAUGAGAACACGACUUAGCGAAGCGCAAUCGCACGCUCACAUGAUGGACUAAACAGAGUCGCCACUGAACUUUAUUUAUUCCUAAAAGGAAAGGGGAAAUAUCGAUAAAACCCAAGAAAGAACGACAAUGAUUAUGGUCAUCGCAACCAAAUCAGGGUUCGGGAGUCGAUUACGCAAGGGGAAGGUAUUAGCACCCCUCACGUCCGUUGUACUCAACGGGAACCAUUAGGUUAAUUGUGUGCGUUAUUGUUAGUUUAGAAAUGUUAGGCGUCUCGAGUUAUUAGGUGGGAAAGAAAUAAAGGGUGAGAGGAGAAUAUUUUUGGAUUUUUAACGAAGGACUAAACCUAAGUUUUUUUAUUAGUGGGUCUGACAAGAUUUCGCAAUCCUGCUCCUACGUAUCUCAAUAGAGAACUUAAGGCUUACGUAGUUCUGGGUAGAAAAUGUUUGUUUGUUGGUCAAUUUUAGCGAAAGCUAUAUUGUAUUAAUCGACGAAAACAUUGUUUUACCCAAAACAGAUGAGGAGCGGACAUAUACCACACAUCGAAUGGAUUUACAAAUCAACAUUCGGAAAAACGUCACUUAUCUCAACUCAACAAUUGUAGCCGAGGCAUUGCUUUACAUCACCUUAAAACACGAUGUCUUUCGUUUUGAAAAGGUUUUUCUGAUCAAUCGCACGGCGGCAAAAAAUAGUUUGAUUGGUUGGAUGCAUUUUUGGGUUUGAAAGACGAAUAUUUAUUACUUGCAAGCUCUUAUAACUUGGGUCUAAUACUCGGGACUACGUCUGGACCUUUCACGCAGGCAAUCUUUUUCUUUCAAUUUUAUUGAGAAAAGACGUUUGAAUAUUUACAAAUAUUUUAAAGAGAAGACGAAUACAUAGGACUUACAAGCUCUUACAACUUGGGCCUAAUAUUCGGGAUUACGACUGGAUAUUCCAUCCAGGGUAAUCUUUUUCUUCAGAUUUUAUUGAGAAAAAUACGUUUGAAUAUUUAAAAAUAUUUUGAAGAGAAGACGAAUACAUAUGGCCUCUAAGCUCUUACAACUUCGGCCUAAUAUUCGGGAUUACGACUGGAUAUUCCAUCCAGGGUAAUCUUUUUCUUCAGAUUCACUUAUGAAAAUAAUUUGAAUAUUGGAGCGUUUUGAAGAGAAGACGAAUACAUAGGGCUUACAAGCUCUUACAACUUGGGCCUAAUAUUCGGGAUUACGAUUGGAUAUUUCAUCCAGGUAAUCUUUUUCUUCCAACUUAUUUAUGAAAAUGAUUUGAAAUUAAAUUAAAAAUGAUUAAUGUACAAAGGUUUGAAAUUAUUGAAAAUUAAGUUGGUAUUGUUUAAAAGUUCAUUGUAAAAAGACCCCAAAAAUAAGUCAAGUGUAAAUAAACAAAUAAGUACAAAGGUUUGAAAUUAUUGAAAAUUAAGUUGGUAUUGUUUAAAAGUUCAUUGUAAAAAGACCCCAAAAAUAAGUCAAGUGUAAAUAAACAAAUAAGUAAAAAGGUAUUUACAACACACUUAAAAAUUUAAAAUGGAAAAAAUAAAAUCUACAAAUAUUUUUUUCAAAAAAUGGAUUAAAUAAAAGGGUAUAAAAAUAAAUAAUAAAAUCAGAAGAAGUUAUAAAAAGAGAAUCAAUAGAAUGAAAAUUAUAAAAAAAAUAAAAACAAGUAAACUUAAAAUUUGCUAACAUCAAGGAUUGAACCCAUGACAUAGUAGAAAGUAGAGAGUGCAUCAACCACCCAGCCAUGAAUGACUAGCUAGAAGGUAGAUGUACUAAUUAAUAUAAGUAACAAAAUUCACUGAAAGUUUAAAAUAAAGGAAAAAAAUAGUUGGACUGGGCCUAGAGCGGGUCGGGUUCAACCCAGCUCAACCUAACUAAAACCAAUAGCAAGCCAACAACCCUAGAAUUCCAAACCUCCGCUCACACUUUGUCUCUUCCAAACAACAUUUCGACGUUCUAAAAGAAAGAAAUAAACGACCGUCCACUCUCUAUCUCUUCCUCACGAUCUGUUUCAAUGAAUCCAACCACAAUCCUUCCUCUCAAUCGAUUUUGGCCCUCAUACAAACUCAAUCGUCCGCUCACACGCUCAUGCUUCCGGCCACUUCAACAGACACACAACGAUAUGGCCUUACCCAACCGUGAUUCUGGCCGUCUUACCCACCGUGAUAAUGGCCAUCUCACCCACCGUGAUAAUGACGGCCAACACUCAACCGCGUUCGGAUGGCCAACACUCAACCACAACAUUUACAUCGAUUGCAAUUUUUUUAUUAAAAUGCAAAACAGAAAGGAAUAGGUACAAAGUGGUUUUAAGGGCACAAGAGGACUACCUGCUAUCGGAAAGGAGGAAAGGAAGCGACUUUGUCUUGCUUUCAGGUAAUUAUGCAGUAGUGUCUUAGUUUUUUUUGUUUUUUCUCUCUGUUUUGUUGGAUUAUAAUGAAUGGAUGAUUUCAAAUUCUGUUGUUUAUGUGUGUGAACUGAAUGGAUUGUUGAGAAUAAAUUUUUUCCAGCCCCCUCAUUUCAAAAAAAAAGAUCCUUUUUAUACUGUGAUUUUAUAGGGUUUGCACAGAGGUAAGGAUUGGUCCUUGCUGUCAAAUUUAUGCCAUUGGUAGUGGGUUCCAAAAUUCUUUCUAAGAGGACAAGCGUUGCCUUAACAUUUUAGUGAAAAUUCAUGUUUUGUCUUAAAAAGUAAUGUACUGCCAUUUGCUUUUCUGCUUGGUUUCUGUUUGCCUUUGUAUUCUUUCCCAAUUGAUGCUAACUUGAUAUUAUUUUUCUGCUCCAAGUCACUUGUCCAAGUUGAUACUAAGGUUGAUGAGCAGAAAAAUGGUCUCACAGAUAACACAAUAGUUUGAAGGGGUUCCAUGCUUUUCUUUUUUUAAAUGUAAUUUGUUAUUGUACAAAAAAUUGUACCUUAUUAUAAUGUAAAAACUUAUUUUUAUAUUUUCUGAAUUUUUUCUAUAUUUGUGAUGUAGAAGAUAAAUAAAAUUAAAUGUAACUAUUUUUUAUUUAUUUUAAGAUAGAGCAAUGACAUUUAUUUACAAAAUGUGACCAAAUAUUUUACUUAAAUCCAAUUAAGAGAAUCAAAAUAAUUUUUUUUAACAAACUUUAAUUAUUAUUAUUACUACUACUCAACAUAAUUUUACUUAAAUCCAAUUAAGAGAAUCAAAAUAAUUUUUUUUAACAAACUUUAAUUAUUAUUAUUACUACUACUCAACAUAAAAAAUCUCUUGCUAUAACCUGAGAACAAUACCAUGACAAGACCAAACAAAUGUAUGAAAACAAUUAAGAGAAUCAAAAUAAAUUAUUUUUUUAACAAAUUUUAAUUAUUAUUAUUAGUACUACUCAACAUAAAAAAUCCCUUGCUAUAACCUGAGAACAAUACCAUGACAAGACCAAACAAAUGUAUGAAAACAAUUAAGAGAAUCAAAAUAAUUUUUUUUUAACAAACUUUAAUUAUUAUUAUUACUACUACUCAACAUAAAAUAGAACCUAAGUAAUAAUUAUGGGCAUGUAGUGUAUGAUAGAAAACUUAUGAAAAACAAAUGUAUGAAUGACAUGGUAAAUGAAAAUCUUAUUAUAAAUAUGAAUGCUUAUGAAUGAAAAUCCUAUUUUUUUUUUAUGUGAAUUGGUAAAUAAAAAAAAAUCUAAAGAAAAUUAAAUAAAUGUCAUUGAAAUGAAAUUAAAAAAAAAGGAAUAAUUUAUGAAUAUGAAUGAUUAAGAAUGAAGGUCAUAUUGAAAUAAAUAAAAAAAUUCUAAGGAAAAUUAUGCAAAUACAUGCCAUUAAAAAAAAGAUUGAAUGAUUUAUGAAUAUGAAUGAAUGUCUUUUUUUUUAUGUGAAUUGGUAAAUUGAAAUAGAAAAAAUUCUAAUGAAAAUUAUGCAAAUAAAUGUAUUAAAAUGAAAUUAAAAAUUUUAAAAAUGGAAUAAUUUAUGUCAAUGAAUGGAUGCGAAUUGAUAAAUACAUAUGCUUGAAAUGUAAAUGAAUGCCUUUAGGCGGGGUAAAAUUUAGGGUAUGACAAGUGGAUAUUAAGAUCGACCAAGAUGCUUGUAGGAUGAUGCAUUAUAUGUUCAAAAUUAUUUUGAUAGUUGGAAUCACAUAGUUCUUGUAUUCUAGUUAUUAUAAUUAUUUGUGUUAGUGUUUAUGUAAUGGUACUUUCGUCACAAACGUCUAAUAUGAAAUAAAUUUAGUUUUUCAUAUAUUGCAAUAGAGGUACAUGUGAAUUUAUCUGGUUGUGCUCGUUCCAACACUAUGGCAGUUAUUACGAUUGUGACCUGGCUGACGGCAUGAACUACAUAGUCUAACCAUUUUGUUCACCGUAUCCAUUUCGGUUCAAAUCCGGGUGCUGUUUGGGCGACUCUUUUUUUUCCUUCACAUAACUUCGUUGUGCCAGACGAUGUCCCCUUGAUAUUCUGGCCAAUAAUCCUCUUUUGCCACUACGGAAAAACUAAUUUAUAAACAUUUGAAAGGCUGACGACUUUGUAAACUUCAGAUAGUAAGUAUGAUAGAUCUCUUCGAACCUUUGAGCAUGCCGCAAUUACAUGGGAGCAGGGGGUACGAAAGGCUUGGAACUUUCCGUAGUCGCACCAACCUCUAUCUAGUUCGACUCUAUACUAUCCCAUCGGUAUGCCCUCAUUGUGACUCAUGGACUCGACAACAUUAUACCAACCUUUAGUACGGUCAAAGACCGUAACCACGUGUGUGUUUACUUUGAUAGCUUCAUAUCUGAUGAAUUUCAUUGAAGCAUCACUGAACAACUGUCCAGAUUGCAACACUGAACUACAUUUUGAGCGUCUGGUUUCAAACAACGCCCCUAGCCUGAAAUAUGUUGCCAACACCAAAGCGGUCAUAGGUAGGUUACGGAUGCCUUUGAAGACAGAGUUCAUAGAUUCCACAAGAUUUGUUGUCAUGUGGCUCCAACGCUGACCGUUAUCGCAAUCCAUUCAUACCAUAUACUCAAACACAAUACCAAGAAUCAAACCCCAUAGCCACAAUCGUCUAAAGCCCAUAUGAUUCAUAUGGGUCACUUCAUCGUAGCCCCCCACCAAUGACCACCCAAACAUCUCAUCAACAUAACACCCAACCAUUGUUUAACUAUAGUACGCCCCACGAACCAUUGCUUCGUUUCUAAAACGACUCAAUGACCCAAUUUGGGCAACUAUAUCGUCCCCAGUCCACCCAACCCCAACAGCCUAACUACGAUGUCAUGGGCACCGAACUCCAUUACGGAAGUGUCGCUGGCCAGAUCCCCUCCAGAUAUUGGGAACAAAUGAUGACACAUCUGUUAAAUACCGCUGGAAUUUCCGCUGGACCAUCCCACCAGCCAUCGCUCGAUCAGGUCAGCACACAAAAAUCUCAAACACCUCAAGAAAAUCGUGGGAGAUCUCGGAGACAAACUAACGCACCUGGAUGUAGAACAGGGGGACGUUAUAAUCGGGUCGGUCAUUGAUUUAUUGUCAGUCCAAUGUAACCAAUUAUUACAUCAUCAAUAAAUUUAUUUAUUUUCUAUUACUAUUUUUUAUUUAUUAAAUAAACAAAAUUAAAAUUUUAAAAAAUACAAGGGGUGUAUGCGCCAGAUGAAUUGGCGCAUACACCAUCCAUUGCACAAAGGAGCCAGGAGCAUUGGCGCCUCCUCAUGAGGGCCAAUGCAUGCGCCAAUAGCAUUGACGCCUCCUCAUGAGGAGUCCAAUGCAUGCGUCAAUGCUAUUGGCGGCUCCUCUUAAUGGUUAGGGGAUGCCCCAAUUCAUCUGGCGCAUCCUCUUCUAAACCUAAUUAUUUUGAUAUUUUUUUUGAAUUAUUGGUUAUUUUCGAUUUUUUUUAAAAAAAUGGUUAUUUUAAAAAAAAAUCCAUCGAUGUCUCUUUAAAUAUUACAAACAAAGCAAAAUAUUAUGAAAAAAAACAGGGUUCAAUAAUUCAAGUUCGGUAAUACAAAUGUUUUCAAUGGAAAACUUAAUUUCUAGUGAGCAAAUGGCAAACUAUGUACGUCAUGCUUGAUGAAAAAGACUUUUGUAAUGUAGUCUUAUCAAAUUUCUAGUUUAGUAGAGUCAAGUCUUCACGUAGACUAGACCAUGUUGGGGUAAAUUAUAAGGAUGACAUUCAUGUAAUUUGUCAAAAAAAAAAAUUCAAAAAACUAAUAAACGAAUUCUAGAUUAAUAAGACUUAACCUAUAAUGAAUUGGUAUAGCAAGUAUAUAAUAUAGUACACUUAUAUUUUAUAAAUGUUGGAUUCUUACAAUCACACGACACACCUACAAUUUUUUAUUUUCACAUCUUUUAUGCUAUUAGAUCAUGCACGCAUCUCAUAAUCAGAAUUGAUUUAGAGAUUUCGUCAAAUUUUCACACAAAAAAUCUAACUUUAUAAAAAUAACAGUAAUUUUAUCAAAUAUAUAUUAUAUAAGGGAUAUGAAGUUCUUACUCUCUUAAUAAUGCUCAUCUUACACUUACUCAAGUACGUCAUAGCAUUGGAUCAUAAAAUAACACAAUGCAUAAAGUUGUCAUUGCAAAGUCUUACUUAGAAAAGAAAUUAAAAUUUUUACUAAUUUUAUAUUUUUUUAGGAUUUAUGGACAACCACAUUUCACAAAAUUAACACCAUUUUUAAUUUCCUGCACUUUUGAGUUUAAGAGACAUACAUUGAACCACAAUCCAACAUAAUUAUGGCACAAUAAUUUCAAUGAACAAUGGUAAAAUACAUAAAAGAUAUAAUCAUUUAAAUAAUUUCAAUGCACAUUUUUAAAAGUUCAACCAAGAUUUGUCUUAUUUUGUUCCUUACUUAAUAGUAAUAGUUAUGCCACAUAUGACACAAUGGUUGCAAAAUUUCUUACAAUAAAAAUUGUGUUACUAAGAAGAAUCUAUCUAAAUUUUACAUUAUUCGUCGUAAAUAUGCUACGAAGAAGUAAUGUACAUAAUUUCAAUAAAAAAUGUCAAUUGUGAAGAAAUAGGCAGGUGUGUACCUCAUGAUUUUGGAUCUGGUCUCCACCACAUAUAUCAAGUUUUAUAAAAAUUACUAGAAUGAUUUAAUUGAGGCAUCAGAUCCCUUGUUGUUCUUUCUAUUGCACUAUUGGUGGUAGCGUGAGACCUUAAAUCUUAAGACCGGACUCGUAAUAAUUCGCAAAAGUAAAUACUGAACACAUAUCUAGUUGUGAGUGCUAACACAAGUGACACUACUGCCGAUAAUAUUAUUAAUUAAUAAAAUCAUAAAAAUAAGUAUUGAGAUUGUCAUCUAAUGCAACAACACUAAAUCGUAAACACGAGAUGAGCGAAAAUCAAAUUUCUAGAAUCUUCAUAUAGUUAUAUAUGACUAAAAAAAUUCUAAGGAGGAAGCCAGAUCUUGAAAAUAAAUCUUUUCAAUAUUUGUCAUUAUCUACAAAAUUUUCAUCAAUAUUUCACAUGAACGUAGAUAUGAAAAAAGUAGGAAUUUCAAACAGAGGCGACUGAGCUUGAAGGUAAGAGAAGAUGGGGAAAAUAUGGAACCGGUUAACAAAACCUAAUAUAAAAGGGUAUCCAUUCUAACUAGAACAUUUCCUAAUGCUAAGAUGCACAUUAAGACUCGGAGGAUACCAUCCAAUAUACAAAAACGUUGAAGUAUCCUAGUUUUGACAUCAUACAAAAUACAUAUAACUGGAAGUUGCACUCACAUACUCUCCCUUUUUAAUGAUGAAAAAACUUGAGACGGUGUGUUUUGUGUCUUCAUGAAGGGCCCCCCUGAAUGUAUGCAUCCCAACUUCAUCUUCUUGAUGCUUGUCCCCAUUUGACAACAUCAAAAAGAGACAAAGUAAUCCAUAAAAAGUAUCUUAUAUCACACAUAUACUGAUAGAACAUACAUAGGCGUUUGCAAAAAUAAGAUCAUCAAUAACACAUCACUCAUGUAGAAUGAUGUAAAUAUUGAAAAUGCCUAAACAUAAAUAAAAGCAAUUUAAGCAAUAAUAUAACAUAGUUACCGAAAAUCAUGCCAAAUAACACAUACAAUAAACAUAAAAGAUGAAUGAUACAAUGAAAUAAAAAAACUCUUAAAUUGUUUCAAAAGUGACACAUUUACAAAAGUGACACAUUUACGUGACAUAUACCUUUGGUGUUCCCGAAUGCUACACAUAUAUGCUCCAUGAUAAUGAUUUAAGUGUGAUAUUUUUUAAAUUAUAAAAAUCCAUUUUUUCUAAUUAAUAUACUAGAUGAAGCAAAUGGUUCAAAAGACCGAAACAUGUGUCCAACAAUCUUUCACACAUUUCAAAAUUAAGUCUUAACACAUAAUGAAUUGGUAUAGAAACUAUAUAAUAUAUUACACUUUAUAUUUUUUAUACAUUGGAUGCUUAGUAAUCCCACCACACACCUAUCGUUUUUUAUUUUGACGUCUUAUGCUAUUAGAUAAUGCACGUAUCUACGUAUCUGAUACUCACGAGUACAAGAAAUCUAACAUUAUAAAAAUAUAAGUAAUUUUAUCAAAUAUUUAUUACAUAAGGGAUAUAAAAUUCAUUUAAAUAUUUAUACCUUACUCUGUCAAUAAUACUCAUCUUACACUUAUUCAAUUACAUCAUAGCAUUGAAUCAUAAAAUAACACAAUGUAUAAAAUUGUCAUAGCAAAGUCUUCCCUAGAAAAGAAAUUAAAAACUUCACUAAUUUUAUGUUUUUUUAGGAUUGGUAGACAACCACAUUUCACAAAAUUAGCACCAAAUUUUAUUUCCUACACUUUUGAGUUUGAGAGACAUACAUCGGACCAGAAUCCAACAUAAUCAGGGUAAAAUAAUUUCAAUGAGUAGCGGUAAAAUACAUAAAGGAUUUAAAUAAUUCCAAUGCUAAUUCAUAAAAAUUCAACCAAAAUUUGUCUUAUUUUGUCCCUUACAUAAUAGUAAUAACUAUGCCACAAAUGUCACCAUGUUUGCAAAAGUUUUUACAAUAAAAAUUAUGUCAGUAAGAAGAAUCUAUUUAAAAUUUACAUCAUUCUCUAAUUUUUGUAAAUAUGCUAUGAAGUAGUAAUGUACAUAAUUUCAAUAAACAAAAAAGAGUCAGUGUUGGAGAUAUAGGUCGGUGCGUACCUGGUGAUCUUAGAUUUGGUCUCCACCACAUAUAUCAGGGUUUAUAAAAAUUGCUAGAAGGAUUUGAUCGAGGCAUCAGAUCCUUUGUUGUUCUUUCUAUUGCAGUUUUGGUGAUAGUGUGAGAGCCUAAAUCUUAAGACUAGACUUGUAAUAAUUUCGCAAGCGACACUAUUGCUGAUAAUACUUAACACAUAUCUAGUUGCGAGUGCUAACACAAGCACAUUAUUGCUGAUAAUAUUAUUAACUAAUAAAAUCAUAAAAAUAAGUGUUGAGAACGAUAUAUAAUGCAAUAAUGCUAAAUCGUAAGUAUGAGAUGAACGAAAAUCAAAUUUCUAGAAUCUUCAUACAAAUAUAUAUCAAAAAAAUUCAUCUAAGGAGGAAGUCAGAUCUUGAAAAUAAAUCUUUUCAAUAUUUGUCAUUAUGAAUGAAUGUUUACAAAAUUUUCAUCAAUAUUUCACAUGAACGUAGAUAUGAAGAAAGUAGGAAUUUCAACCGAGGGGGCUGGGUUUGAAGGUAAGAGAAGAUGAGAAAAAUAUGGAACUGGUUAACAAAACCUAAUCUAAAAUGGUAUCCAUUAUGUUUUGGGCUUAGAUGCGUCGGGUUCGAUUUUUUCAUAAAAAUGGUAUGAAUUUUUUAAAAUGGAUCAAUUUGAUUACUGAGUCAUUUAAGGAUACACAAUUUUAUAAAAAAAUCCAAAGUCAAUUUCGGGAAUUGCAACAUCUUAUUGAUCUUAUAUAAAUAAAUAUGAAUUAAUAAAUUAAGUUAGAGUCUAUGAAAAAAAGAAAAAUUAUUUUGAUCUCCAUCAAUGUCUCUUUAAAUAUUACAAACAAAGCAUAAUAUUGUGGGAAAGAAACAAGGUGCAAUGAUUCAAAUUCGUUAAUACAAAUGUAUUCAAUGGAAAAUUUAAUUUCUAGUAAGUAAAUAGCAAACUAUGUAUGUCAUGCUUGAUGAAAAAGACUUUUGUAAUGUAGUCUUAUCAAGCUUCUAAUUUAGUAGAAGUUUAAUAGAGUAAGUCUUCAAGGGACCUGACCAAUAUUGGACUAAAUUAUACUGAAAUAUGAGAUUUAUAAAUUUACUAGAUAAUUUUUUUUUCCAAAAGGUUAAUAGUUUUUAGCACAAAAUAUAUCUGAAAAACUUUCGAUAGAAAAUAUUGGAGUUUUACGUUUUCCUUAGUUUUUUAAGAAAGCUUGCUCAAUUGAUUUUCCGUUGAUUUCGUUGAUCUCUUGUCUCAAAAGUUUUCUAUCUUUUGUAGUGAUGUUAAUAACCUACAAAUAUGUUGCCUAUUACUUUGAAUUAUAAUCCAAUUACCUGUGAACUUUAAGUGUAUACAAGACCUUAUUAUUUAAAUGUUUUUAUUUCAAUGUUAUAAAUUUUAGGAGUUUUAAAAUAAAUUUAUGUUGAUUAAUGGUUAUUGGGAGGCAGGUUAUAGAUUUGGUAAAAACACUGACAAUAUGUUGCACAAUGCGGCAACACCACCAGAACAUCAAUAUUCAGGUAGACAAUGCAAUAAGUGUGAGCCCACCUAAAAAAACUUAUCCAUUAAAUCUUAGAGGAUACCUCACCAUCCUACUAAAUUUAUAUACAUAGGGUGGUUCCUCCGAUUUAGUUUCUAUUAGCCCACUAUAGUCCAAGACAACAUUGAGUAUGUUAAGAAGUAUGACAAGUGUAAAAUAAUAUGAAGUAUGGUCAAGUUGUUUUUGGUACAUAAGAGGCACAUGUGAAAGAUGAUGUUCUAACAUGUGUGCUGCAAACAUCUGAUCUCUGACAACAAACAUAUUUUAUUGCAGUUUUGAUUCAGAUUUAUAUAAUCCAAGAUUCACUUUUUAAAGAAACUUUGCAGUUCAUGAAGAGAGUUAAUUUGGAUGUUCUGGUGUAACAUAUGAAACACAAUGUUCUAGCAUGUGCGUAGUGCAACAUUUGGUCUUUGUUAGCCGGUCAUGAUGGAUUUUGUUAGGAGAGAAAUUUCUGAUUGAUUUCAAUCAGAUUUGUUGAUGUAUUUUAGCAGUGUAUUUAUGUGGAUUUGUUUGUUAAAGAUUGGCAAAGAUCAAAUCAAUUUAAAUGGAGAUUUAAAUUUGAUAACAAAUCAUAUAUUUUGAGAUUUUUGUGGAAAACAAAAAUCAACAAAAUCUUCUAUAUUCUGGACGAAAUCAAAUCAAAUUCCCAUUGGAAAAAUACCAGAAGAAACAUUGUAAUUUAAGGAUACUCAAGCCUCAAGUUUGAGGUGUUCACAUUUUGAAGACUCUUUGUGUUAGGGUUUCUAUUUUUGAGUCUUUGUUUGAAUUAUUGUUGUGCACCACUCUAGUGCUUGAAUUCACAUUUUAAGGCAUAUAGUUUGGUUUAUUUGUUGAGUUGUAAAACUCUCUUCUGAGAUACUAAUUCUAUAAGAUUGAGAACAAAGUAUUUGUGUUUUGUGUACACCAUAUUAUUGAUUCAGUAAUUUGACAUAGUUGUUGGUUUGUCUUAGUUGAGUUGUAAAUUCAACAUUCAAUAUCGUUAUUAUUGAAGAUGAUCACUUAGGAUUAGUGAUUGAGAUAAAGUGAGAGUUUAUCAUAUUUAGGAGAGUCCUAAAUAGAAAGUCACUAGGAUUAGGAAGAGACUUUGAAGAUCAUGGGGUUGGUUUUCUUAUAAGACUAAUUGUACUAAUUCAAACUAGUGAAUUUUCUUUCUUGGGAGAUUUCCCCCCAAACGUAGAUGGGGUUUCACCAAAUUGGGUUAACAAUUUCUUGUGUUCUUUAUUUCUUUAAUUGUUAUUUACUAUCUAUCUUGCAAAUUGUUUUUUUAUAUACAAUGUCCCAAACAUCGUGUCUGAUAUCUGUCCCCAGAAUAUAUCAUCUGUCAUAAAUCAAUCGUACAUCUUGUCUCACGCAUUUGGUCUAAAAUUCGUCCUUACUUGAAUAAAAUUUUAAAAUAGUUUAAUGUAUAUGUGAUGCAAAAUAAUUAACAAACAAAUUUAUAAAAUGAUCUAACAACAAAACAAACUAAAUAAAACAUUCAAAUAUGGUAGUGUUUUCUAAACACACUCGUUUCACAUGUGUGAAUUAAAAUUGAAGAGUUCCAAAAGCUAGAGAUUUCAAGAGGCCCGACCGGAAACACAUCAUUUUUAAAUAAGCUUGUAAGUUUAUUAAAGAAAAAUAAGUCAUACAAAAAUAUCAAUCAUGACCAUUACAAAGAGAAUGUAAAAAGGAUAAAACUUAUCCAAAAAGAAUUUUUACGUCAAAGAUAGACUUAAGAGAGUCAUCUUAAAUUUCCACACUCGGAUUCUAAAAGUGAUUUGUCUUGACUAUUGAUUCAAAUCCUUCUUAAUACUUAAUGAAUUCAUAAAUAUUAGACCAUUGAUCAUGAAUUUAUUCUCCUCGUCAUGUUUAUUGGUGUAACGAUAAAUUUUUUGAAUUAAGUUAUUGAUUAACUUAACUCGCAAAGCAAGAGUCACCACCACGCUUUUAUUGUUUCCAUAGGAAACGAGAAAAAAUAAGAAAAAAAUUCAAAGAAGUUUUAAAAUAAAACUAAUAAAAAAGAGAACAAGGGUUCGGGAGUUAGUUAUGCAAAGGGAAGGUAUUAAUACCCUAAAUAUUCGUGGUACUCCAUGAGAAUCUCUUUGAAAAUAUAUACAUUUUGGUUUGAAAUAGGUGUUGUUUAUUAAAAGAUUGGAGAGAUGGGAAAAGAAGCAUAUUUUUUCUUAUUUUUCAUGUUGUGUUUGCCAAGACUUUUGAAGUUUCAUGCCUACAUACCAACAAAGUGUAAUGGAAGAUCAAAACCUCGUAGUUCGUGGUAAGAAUAAAAAAAGGAGUUUGUUUUGA
Molecule: long non-coding RNA, 59547 nt
Filed under: Lathyrus oleraceus (garden pea)
Lineage: Eukaryota; Viridiplantae; Streptophyta; Magnoliopsida; Fabales; Fabaceae
Description: Pisum sativum (pea) long non-coding RNA (PSAT_LNC037723)
Source: RNAcentral